UCCAGUUUCACCUACAGAUUGCUGUGCUGUUUGUUUACCUUUUUUUAACAAUUUUUGACGCCUUAUAUAGUGACCCCGACACUUUAUAUUGAGCUUUUUAUAUCCAAAGGAAUAGUAUCUUAUGAUUUUCUCCGUGCCUUUUUCAGGGUAACUUUGACCUUGUGGGUAACAACAUGCCUGUGUUUUUCAUACGAGAUGGGAUGAAAUUCCCUGAUAUGGUCCAUGCUUUCAAGCCAAACCCAAAGACCAAUUUGCAGGAGAACUGGAGAAUAGUAGAUUUCUUCUCUCACCACCCAGAGAGCCUGCACAUGUUCACCUUCCUCUUUGAUGAUGUUGGCAUCCCACUCAACUACAGGCACAUGGAGGGCUUUGGUGUCAAUACCUACACCUUGAUCAACAGGGAUGGAAAGCCUCACCUUGUGAAAUUCCAUUGGAAGCCUACUUGUGGCGUGAAAUGCUUGCUUGAUGAUGAAGCUGUGACUGUUGGAGGUACCUGCCAUAGCCAUGCGACAAAGGAUCUAUAUGAUUCCAUUGCAGCUGGGAAUUACCCUGAAUGGAAGCUCUACAUCCAGACUAUCGAUCUUGACCAUGAGGAUAAGUUUGACUUCGACCCGCUUGAUGUCACCAAGACCUGGCCUGAGGAUAUCAUCCCACUGCAACCUGUUGGACGGAUGGUCCUGAACAAGAACAUUGAUAACUUCUUUGCGGAGAAUGAACAAAUUGCUUUCUGCCCAGCGAUUAUUGUCCCUGGAAUCCACUAUUCUGAUGAUAAGCUGCUCCAGACGAGAAUCUUCUCCUAUGCUGAUACCCAGAGGCACCGCCUUGGUCCAAACUAUCUGAUGCUUCCUGUGAAUGCACCAAAAUGUGCCCACCACAACAACCACCAUGAAGGGUUCAUGAACUUCAUGCACAGGGAUGAAGAGGUACUAUGUUCUUUGGACUUCUUUCUCCUUUUGCAUGCAAGUGUGUUAGGAUGCAUCUUACCUAUUGACACAUGUAACAUGUGGGAGUUCUUCCUUUAUAGCACUUAUAUCUAUUUUCUCUGCUUCUUUAGGUGAACUACUUCCCUUCAAGGUUUGAUCCUACCCGUCAUGCUGAGAAGGUCCCUAUUCCUUCCCGUGUUCUAACAGGCUGCCGCGAGAAGGUGUGUAUUGUAGUAUGUUUAAAUUCGAACAGUGCCUUUAUGUUAACAAUAUUAUGCUAUGGUGGGCUUGUGGCUGCAUCGUUGUACUAUAUAAUGGCGAAGGUGAGUCAUUGUUGGAUUUUUUUCUUGAUUCUGAGAACCUGGCGUGUGCUGUUGAAUCUGCAGUGCAUCAUCGAGAAGGAGAACAACUUCAAGCAGGCUGGUGAGAGAUUUCGAUCCUUUGACCCUGCCAGGUUUGCUCCCACACCUCAGGCUGUUUGGUUUACAGGCAUAGAAAGACAUUAAGCUGCUGUUUGCCUAAUUCAAGUGUUUUGGUAUCUGAUGACAGGCAAGACCGGUUUAUCCAACGAUGGGUUGACGCACUGUCAGACCCUCGUGUUACCCAUGAACACCAUACGAUUUGGAUCAACUACUGGUCUCAGGUAUUCAUUUUGUUGUUUGUUUUUGGUAAAAUGCUCAGUGGCUACUUGGGCUAUUGCUAACCAUGUACAACAGCUGCGGACAUUUGUGUUUUAUUAUCUUGGUACUGAAACCAUAUUACCUGUGUGCUGCAGUGUGAUGCCUCUCUUGGCCAGAAGCUGGCUUCUAGGCUGAACCUGAAGCCGAACAUGUAAGAUUGACAAGGAAGAAAGCAGGCGCCGGUGGCCGAGGAUGCAACAUGGAGCGUGAUGCAACACAUGUUGGAUCGUGCGAUGUUGAGAACGGCUGUUACACCUAUAUAAUCGAAUAAACAGGGAUGUGCGCGUUGUAGUAUGCUGAUGAUCGGUGGUGGUUAUAUAUCCUGGAACUUUUGGUGUACACAUCUUUUCUGGAAAGACGUAAUAAUAAAGAAGAAUGUGUCAAUGUGGUGGGCAACAGUAGCAGACGAUGUAGUUUACGGUGGCGUUGUUUUUGUCGCCUGUAAUGCAAAACCCUGCUGUGUGCUCGCCUGUCUAUUACAAACAGUGAUGAGUUGUGGCGGUAUGUUUUUGACAGUUUAUUUACUAGUGAGUACAUCUCUGAUUGAUCACGUUCGCCUAGAACCAAAGAACGUGAAGGAACAGUCGGUUCUGGUGUGGUGGUUGCCCCCUCAAAAUUCAGAAAGAACGAACAGAGGCAGCAAGGAUCCCAAUCCUAACCCCAUCUAAAGGGUCUCUCUUUGAACAGAAUUCAGAAAAGCACAGGCAAAAGAGAAGCAGCAAGGAACCCAUACAAAGGGUCUCUUAAAAGGCAGAUUUUUUUGCCAUGUUCUAGCACUACUAUUUCAGCGGUACUUUUUAACGAACGAACAAUGUUUUUCUUACAACAAAUCAGCAUAAGCAUCGUAUAGGAGUUUUACUGAAAGUUAGUUCAAUUUGACAGGAUUUUAUAAGAAUUAUAAUCAUAUAGGAAUUUUAUUGAAACUAUGAUUUAAUAUAGGGGAAAAAUAUCCUAAAUUCCAAAGAGGCCUGUAUCCGUCUGCACAUACAUUACACGGAUUCAGCAUGGCUUUGCCUCACCGUCACCGCAGCAAGAGCAAACAUGACCAACCAUGCUGCCGCAACAGAAAAACAGGCGGCCUGCAAUUGUCCAGCGGGCCGGGAUAAGUGGGCUUGCGGGCAGGCCGGCGUCCCUUGCAACCCUACUCUGCUGCCUUGUCCUUGUCUUCUUCUUCCAUCACCCCCAAGCGUGACCGACGACUGGGCCGACCGCCGCCGCCGACGACGAGCACCACCAGUUACGCGCUUCCCUUCCUUCUGGGAGAAGCCGUGCGCCCAAACCUUAACGUAGCAGGACGCUCAGCACGAGCUGGAGAUGGAGGUGGAGGUGGCCAAGUAUUCGCGGGGGCAGGGUGCUGACUUGAAGGUAAUCCAUUGUUGUGCUCUUGCAAACAAGCUACAAGUGUUAACCAUUCUACUUUAGGAUGAAUAUGCUGGCCUGCUAUGCCACUGUCAUUUUCUCCUGAAACUGCACAUUGACUAGCUUGGUUUUGGAAUGGCUCUGUAGGCGCUGCGGGACAAGAAGUUGAAAGGGCAGCUCACUGUAAAAGAGAAGCUAUAUGGCCAAUCUGCAAAAGCUGCUGCAAAGGCAGAAAAGGUCACCUCUCUUUCCAUUGCAUCGUUGUGGAUAUGCAAUUGGUGUCUCACUAGAAAUCUUAGGUGAAAUUGUGAACAUUAUGCGGGUGAAACAGAGAGUCUGAUAUUUAAAACCUGUGAUUGGUUAUGGUAUAUGUAUGCUAUUGUACCCCACAAUUGAUGUUUAGCUGUUUUGACCUCAAGGGAAUCCAGUUUGGAUGAACUGACGAAGUGAGUAUACGCACAUACAUACAGGUUUAGCAUUUUACAAGCAUUAUAUGAGUCACUGAAAGCCUGAAACAUUACUGCCAAAAAGGACAAAGCCUCAGCAAGAUCUGUAUGUUUUUUUUUUUGGGUACAUAUUGGCUUGCUAAAAGUACUAUUGCUGAGCUGAAAAGACUUGCUUUGGAGCAGAGCUUUGUUGUCUUAGAUCAGCUCCUAGCUCUUCCUCUGAGCAGAACUUGGACAUCAAUGUGGUCUCUAAUAUAACACUUUGACUAGCAAUAUUAAUAAAAGUAUAUUAUGUUAAACAGAGAUAUACGUUAUAAAAGUAGUAUUCCGAAUAAAGCUAGCAAUGCUGAUAUAGUCCUAUCAAGCUAUAUAAAUAUUAUACUCCCUUCGUUCCAAAUUAUAAGACAAUUUGGAUUUUCUAGAUACAUUUCUUUUACUAUAUAUUUAGACAUAGUGUAUAUCUAAGUGCAUAGCAAAAGCUAUGUGUCUAGAAAUGCCAAAACGUCUUAUAAUUUGGAAAGGACGGAGUAGACAUUGAUAGAUGAAGAUAAAAAGAAAAGUUUAACUUAAAGAUAAACCUAGAUGGACUUAUAUUUGUGAUAAGAGGAAGUAUGUAAAACGGCAUGCCUACCUUUUUGAAGACAGUAUGAGCUUAAAUAUGUUGAUCUUUUAGAUUUUUUUAGUUUGAUUCACUUUUCUCAUGACCCUCAUUCUUGAUGGUUAUACUCUGAAUCAGCUGUUGUUAAUAUUCUUCUUUAAUGAAAUAACAUGCAGCUCUCCUGCCCAUUUGAGGGAAAAAAAAACUGUUCUUAAUUUCAAAGAUUUGUCCUUGUCUGAUUUCUGCUACUCCGUUUUGCAGUGGCUUAUGCCUAAUGAUGGAGGUAUUUUAGAGCCUGAUCAUUUGGAGAAGACAUAUAGAUUUUCACAAAAGGAUAUAUUGACGGAGGUGGAUCUUUUGAGUUCAAGAAAACCAUUUGAUAUGAUCUUACCUGGUAAAUCUUUUAGUCAAUGUUAGUGUUCUAAGAAUUUCUGUCAACAUAACUUGUUUGUCGCUCUUGCCUAAACCAGCUGUUAACUGUUUGAUAAUAACAACCUUGUUGAUUCUAUAUGAUCCUUUAGAGUAUACAAUAACUCAAAAAAUGCCCUUUUUGCUGAUAUUUAUAGUUUUAUACAUGACACUGUACUGAAUCCAACAUGCAUGUCCGGUGCCAGUUUUGAUUGAUUGAGAAAUCUGCAUAUUCAAUUUUGUUAGCCUACCUUACUAUUAACUUUUCUGAAUAUAUGAUUACUGACUGCUAUGGGAUCUGACUGACGCUUCUAUUGUGCAGUACUUGGUCCUUAUCAUAUAGGAUACACAUCAAAUGGACGCUACAUGCUAGUAGGCGGACGAAAAGGCCACCUUGCAAUGAUGGAUAUGUUGCAUAUGAAUCUUAUCAAGGAAUUUGAGGUAAGUUCUUUUACUAUUGAAGCAUUUCCCUCCAUACGGGCUUUACUUCACAUACCCUUGUUUGUGCCAUGUUCAAAUGUCAAAAUAUUUCCAGCAUCACCCAUUUUUGGUGUGCUUCAUGGAUAACGAUUGAUUUGGUUUUAAUUUCUUAUUUUCUUUAGGUGAGGGAAACUGUUCGUGAUGUGACAUUCUUACACAAUGAGCAGUUGUAUGCAGUCGCUCAAAAAAAGUAAUUUCUUUUUACUUUGCUGGAACUGUGUACUAUGUCAUCAUUGCUCAUGAAAUAUUUAACAUGUAUUAACUGUUGGCCUGAAAAAUAUGAAAUAAAGGAAUAUUAAAAUUCACAGAAAUCACUGUUCAGGGUCUCAAAUGAGAACAUAUACCAAAUUGUUGCGAAAUCUGUUGAUCAACCAGGUCAUAAAAUUAUUUCCAAAUGGUUGCUGCGUGUUCCUCAUAGAAAUAUCCUGAAGCCAUAUUAUUUCAUGCAACAUUCAUUUUUGUGAACAAUAAGCCUAUUUCUGGCAGCUCAUUGAACUUCUUAUACAUAAUCUGAAUCUCAAUGAUGUGAGGUAGGAGCAGCUGAAAAUUGCCAUUUGAGGUCUGAGCUCUGACUGAUCUGGAUUGCUUGUCUGAAUUGUUCAUCAUUGCUUUACUGAGGCAUUGAAUUAUUCUAUAAUUUGAAAUGUUUGUACUAGGCUAGAUCAAGCAAAAUUGUAUAUGCUUAUAGUUGAUGCUUUAUUGUUCUAGGCAGUUGAUUAUGGCUGUUGGUCUCUGUUUCCUGUCUACUAUUAACAUUUCAUAGUUACUCAUGAAACAUUUUUCAAACAGGUACCCCUACAUCUAUAAUCAACAUGGUACAGAAAUUCACUGUCUGAAGGUAAGCAUGAUGGCACAAUAAUGCGAUGACAUUACUGUUCAAAUGUUGUUUUCACAUGCUGAUGGGACAAUUAUAGAAGAAAAUAUUCAAUAAUAGAAUCAUAUUCUCUUAUUUGCAUUCAUGAAAACUGCACUAUAUGUCAAACUGAAAGUGGAUCUCUUUUUUGAGAAUAACUGAAAGUGGAGAUCAGCUACAUGUGACUAUGUGAGUCUCAAUAACAUUGGUACUUUCCGAGAACACAUACCUUAUAGUUCCGUUGGCUAAUUUUCCUGCAAUACUGAAAAUAAAAGUUUGCAUACAUUAAAUAAUAAAUUAGCACAUGUUCCCUCCGUUCCAAAUUGUAAGUCGUUUUAGCUUUUCUAUAUACAUAGCUUUUACUACGUACCGGAUGUACAUUAUGUCAUACAUAGUAGAAGGAAAAGCUAUGUAUCUAGAAAAGCUAGAACAACUUACAAUUUGGAAUGGAGGGAGUACUUCACAGUUCAGUCAUCAAAUGCCCUGCAUCCAGGAGAUCAUUUGUCACUUAAUCAAUUCAGUACUUUUUUUAUUUUCCUUUUAAAUCCCACUGGGCCUUCAAAUGAACUUAUUAGACAGAAUUUCUUUGGAAUAUAAUGCUGUGCGCUGGUGAGCAUUGUAACAGUUUAGCAACAUAGAUUUUGAGAGAUGUGUAUCAGUCUCAGCCUGUCAUCAAUGCAUAGACGUGUUAUCAUCCUAAACUCAGUGAAGAUGUUUUCUUUUGUGAGUGUGAUCGCUUCUAUGUUGGCAGGAACAUGGAAAAGCAUUGAAACUCCAAUUUCUGUCUAAGCAAUUCCUCUUGGCCUCAAUAAACAGCUUUGGGCAGCUCCACUACCAAGAUGUGAGCACUGGUGAAAUGGUUGCAAAUUAUAGGACAGGUCUGGGCCGUACCGAUGUUAUGCAGGCCAAUCCUUACAAUGCUGUCAUUGGCCUUGGGCAUGCUGGUGGAAAAGUUACCAUGUGGAAGCCAACCAGUGUGAAACCCCUUGUUACCAUGCUGUGUCAUCAUGGCCCGGUGACUGCUGUUGCAUUUGACAGGGGCGGCAAUCUUAUGGCAACAGCAGGUGUUGACAGGAAGAUAAAGAUCUGGGACCUGAGGAAGUAUGAGGUUGUGCAUUCUUACCCAGUACGUGCUCAGUCCUUGGAUUUUAGCCAGAAGGGGCUGUUAGCCUGCAGCAAUGGAUCUCAGGUAGAGAUAUACAGGGAUUUUGGUGGGCAUGAUUAUAAGCUUUAUAUGAAGCACAAAAUAAUGAAGGGCUAUCAGGUUGGGAAGGUUUUGUUCCGCCCAUACGAAGAUAUUCUGGGGAUUGGGCACUCGAUGGGCUUUUCUUCCAUUCUUGUUCCAGGAUCUGGUGAGCCGAACUUUGAUACCUUUGUUGACAACCCCAUGGAAACUACCAAACAGAAACGUGAGAAGGAGGUGCAUGCUCUCCUUGAUAAACUCCCGCCGGAGACUAUCAUGCUCAACCCAAACACGAUAGCCACUGUAAGAGCUCCAAAGAAGAAAGAGAAGAAGACCAAGAAGGAGAUUGAGGAAGAGAUGGAAGAUGCCAUUGAGGCUGCCAAGAACAUUGAGCGCAAGAAGAAGACCAAGGGUAGGAGCAAACCGAGCAAGCGGGCCAAGAAGAAAGAGGAAGAUGUUUUCAAAGCCAAGAGGCCCUUCCUGGAGCAAUCCGAUAAGGUCGAUGGACGACCUGACAAGAAGCAGCGGAUAGGCGAAGAGGUCGAACUCCCAAAAGCCUUGCAGCGGUUUGCCAAGAAACCACAAUCAUAAUUGUCGUUAACACAGAGUAGGGAUUCACAUUGGUUUGUGAUGCAUGGCUAGUGAGCCUUUAUGAUUUAGCUGUCCAGUAUGUAAAAUUCCAGUGCGAGGAUAUAAUGCACAGAAGAAUGUGCCGAAAUUUUGUCUGAACUAUUGGUAUUCCAGUGAGCAUGGCCGUGCCCCCUCUUUGGUUAUCGUAGAUUCUAUUGCCUUUUUCAUUCAGAUGAAGUAGAUAAUUCCUAGGUUUAUUGUGGAUCAUCAAAGGCACUCUUUGUGGUCAAGUACCGAAGAAUCAGGACUUUGAACCAGAAGCACUCAUUCGCUGCUGUCCAUUACGCUUUAGUUUUGGUUCAUCUACUGUACCUUUGAAGGGCUCUGCUUGUGCAAAAUUGCAGUCAAGGUUAUCGAGUCGUUGGAUCAGUUAUUCAGUUGCGACUAUUGGUGCCACCGUGAUGAAGCUAAAACAAAUUAGAUGAGGAUGCGCUUGUCUUGUAGGUAUGAAAAUUUAAAUUGCAACUCUGGUAAAAAUUUGAUCUAGUAUUGGGUUUUUAAAUUUUUGUGGGCGAAAGUCCAGCAGGCUAGACGUUCGCCCGAGAAGGGGAUGAUCACACGCGGGAAGGGUUGGGCUACCCUGGAUGCAAAUCUCCCUUGCCUUAAGCGGUUGUGUGGAUUAUCAAUCUUGAGAUCUGUCGAUUUAGUCUAAGACCUUCAUAAGUGAUCAUAGAAAUAAAGUUAUCAUUUUUUCCCCAAGAUUUGCCAAUGUUAGUUGGGAGGUUUUAACAAUUUAAACAAGUUACUCCAUACAAAAGCAUAUAAGCAUCUCUAAUAGGGCAACCAAAUCAUUUUGUAAAGAUAAAUAGGGCUAUCAUUAGACAAAAACUUCUCUAAAUAAUGUGCCAGGCGUGUUGGCACGGUCAAAAAGGUUAGAAAUAUAAAUAAAAAAGUAGGUUGGGUUAUAUUUAAAUAUGAUGUGAAAAACAAUUAAAAAAUUCCUGGAUGGUGGCUCCACCACUGCCUGUGCCAUCAUUGACCAAGGCAAAGGUUUGGGUUAUCCAAGGCCUUGUUUAGAUCCAAAAAAAUUUUAGAUUUUGAUACUGUAACACUUUUAUUUUUAUUUGAUAAACAUUAUUCAAUCAUGGAGUAACUAGGCUUAAAAGAUCUGUACAAUUAGUUUUUGUUUUCAUCUAUAUUUAAUGCUCCAUACAUGUGCACAAGAUUCGAUGUGAUGAAAAAUCUUGAAAAGUUUUUUAUUUUUGGGUGAAGCCCAAGUCACGGCGGUCUGGUCACUUCCUGGCCAAAUGCCGUCUGCUCUGGGUUAAGUCAGUAGCAGCCUCAACGUCACUGUUCUAACUUCAAAUUUGGAUUUGGAACGGAGGGGAGUACUUUUUGAACGGCUGUAUGAAUGCAAAUUAUCCGCAGGUCUUCUGGUCGUUGCUAAUCCAAUCAAAAGAUGAUGUAGCACAACUUCAACGAUCUUAUCGCUUUGAAAAACAGAGAGUAGUGCGUGUUAACAGUGCAUUAUUCGGCUAGACUGGUAGCCCACUUGCUGUCAGGACUGCUAAGAUUUUCACGGCGAAAAUAAGCAAGUCUGACUAUUUAUUUGACCACGGCAUUAUAUAUGCACACUUAUUCAGCCGCAACAAGGCAUGACCAACCAUGAUGCUGCUUCUCAGCAUCCUCCUGCUGUCGCCCAUGACCACCACGGCAGGGCAUAGCGACGAGAGAGCUCUUGUGGAUUUCAGGGCAAAGAUUACCACCAACUACGGGGUGCUGGCCUCGUGGAACAGCAGCACCAGCUACUGCAGCUGGGAGGGCGUCACAUGCGGCCGCCGGAGACGUGUGGUUGCUCUAGACCUCCACUCCCACGGGCUCAUGGGCACCAUCUCCCCUGCCAUUGGCAACCUCACCUUCCUGAGGGCGCUCAACCUUAGCUUCAACAGCCUGCAUGGUGGCAUCCCUCCAAACAUAGGUUCCCUCCGCCGCCUCUGGUAUCUAGACCUGCGGGACAAUUCGCUUGUCGGCGCCAUCCCAAGCAACAUCAGCCGUUGCACCAGCCUCAAAAUAUUGGUGAUCGCUGACAACCAGAAGUUGCAAGGAAGCAUACCAGCCGAGAUCGGCAACAUGCCGAUGCUAACUGCCCUCGAACUCUACAACAACAGCAUCACUGGAACCAUCCCACCAUCUCUGGGGAACCUUUCCCGGCUCGCAGUCCUGUCCCUCAAGGGCAACCAUCUACACACAACUCUGGUUCCUUCAGCUCUCUAUCAACAACCUCUCAGGACUGCUACCGCAUUCACUGUACAACCUGUCAUCUUCGAAAGUGUUUUACGCUGCUGUGAACAACCUACAUGGUCAUCUCCCAGAAGAUCUCGGAAGAAGCCUGCCUAAAGUGCAACUCUUUGGGCUUUCAGGUAACCGAUUGACUGGAACUAUUCCAAUGUCACUCACGAAUCUCUCCAGCCUCCAAACAUUUGACAUAUCCAGCAAUGAGUUUACCGGGGUUGUUCCUUCCGCAUUGGGCAAACUGCAAUAUCUUCAAUGGUUUACUCUGGAUGCAAACCUACUUCAUGCAAACAAUGAGCAAGAAUGGGGAUUCCUUACUUCCUUGACAAACUGCAGCAGAUUGCAAGUACUAUCGAUCGGAUGGAAUAGGUUCGCGGGGAAACUACCAAGUUCAGUGGCCAAUUUGUCCACCAGCAUCCAAUUGCUACGGAUUCGCAGAAACAAUAUUGCUGGUGUUAUCCCAUCAGGCAUCGGAAAUUUGAUUGGCCUUCAGCAGCUUAUUCUUGGCGAGAACCUACUCACAGGGGCCAUUCCAGUAAGUAUAGGGAAGCUGACACAAAUGAUCAAGCUAUAUCUGGGCUUAAAUAACUUCUCCGGAACCAUUCCAUCCUCAAUAGGAAACCUCAGUGACCUAUUUGCACUUGGUAUAAAUUCCAACAACAUGGAGGGAUCAAUUCCUCCUAGCUUUGGAAAUUUGAAGAAGCUCAUAGCUCUAGAUCUAUCCAGUAACCAUCUCAGAGGCUCCAUCCCAAAUGAAAUUAUGAACUUGACAUCAAUCUCAGCAUAUUUGGUUUUGUCGGACAACUUACUGGAGGGACUUCUUCCUUUUGAAGUUGGCAAUCUGAUAAAUCUUGAACAGCUUGCUCUAUCAGGAAACCAGCUGUCUGGCAAAAUUCCUGACACCAUCAGCAACUGCAUAGUAUUAGAAAUUCUCCUAAUGGAUGGCAAUUCAUUUCAAGGAAACAUUCCUCCAGCUUUCAAGAAUAUGAAGGGGCUUGCUGUACUGAACUUGACGAGCAAUAAGCUGAACGGAAGCAUCCCUGGGGAGCUAGGCAGUAUCACUAACUUGGAGGAGCUGUACCUUGCCCACAAUAAUCUAUCAGGAGAAAUCCCAGAACUCUUUGGCAAUUCAACAUCACUGAUCCGUCUCGAUCUGUCCUUCAACAAUUUACAGGGAGAAGUACCAAAAGAAGGGGUUUUCAAGAAUCUAACUGGACUAUCAAUUGUUGGAAACAAAGGAUUAUGUGGUGGAAUACCACAGCUUCAUCUUCAAAGAUGCCCAAACUCUGCUGCGAGGAAGAACAAGAAAGCCAUGCCAAUGGCUCUUAGAAUAGCAGUGCCUGCAGUAGGAGCUAUUUUGGUCCUAUUCUCUGGUCUUGCUUUGGCUGUAUUUCUUUGCAAAAGGUCUCAGGCUACAACGACAAAAGAGCAACAGCCACCUCCCUUCAUUGAGAUUGAUCUUCCAAUGGUUUCAUACAAUGAAUUACUCAAAGCAACUGAUGGGUUUUCAGAAGCCAAUCUCCUGGGUAAGGGAAGAUAUGGUUCGGUGUACAGAGGCAAUGUAGAAAAUCAGGGCAUUGUAGUUGUAGUGGCAGUCAAGGUAUUUAAUCUCCAGCAACCAGGAUCAUACAAAAGUUUCAAGGCUGAAUGUGAGGCACUGCGAAGAGUGAGGCAUCGAUGCCUUGUAAAGAUUAUCACAUCCUGUUCAAGCAUUGACCACCAAGGUCAAGACUUCAGAGCACUUAUCUUCGAAUUCAUGCCUAAUGGAAGCUUAGAUAACUGGGUCCACUCAGAUACUGAAAAAGAAAGUGGAAAUGGAACACUCACCAUGGAACAAAGGUUAGAUAUCGCUGUUGACAUUGUGGAUGCUAUAGAAUACCUCCACAAUGGCUGCCAGACAUCGAUUAUCCACUGCGAUCUCAAGCCCAGUAAUAUUCUCCUUACUCAUGACAUGAGGGCUCAUGUUGGAGAUUUUGGCAUCGCUAGAAUUAUAAAUGAAGCUGCAAGCACUUCUUCAAAUUCAAACAGCAGCAUCGGAAUAAGAGGCUCCAUUGGAUAUGUUGCCCCAGGUAAUAUCGAUGCUUCCUGCCUGCUUUACAUAAUUAGAUUCAGUUAGCUGUAUGCUCAUUAAACAAGUUUGUGCAUACCUGUUUGUGCUCUGUUUCAAUCUAUUGUAGAAUAUGGAGAAGGGCUUGCAGUAUCAACUUAUGGUGAUGUAUACAGUCUCGGCAUUACUUUGAUUGAGAUGUUUACAGGAAGGAGCCCAACAGAUGAUAUGUUCAGAGAUGGGUUAAACCUGCAUUACUUUGCUAAGGCAGCUCAUCCUGAUAACGUUAUGGAAAUAGCAGAUUCCAGAAUCUGGCUGCGUAAUGAAGGAAAUAAUAGAAAUGCUACAAGAGAUAUAGCCAGAACAAAGGAAUGUUUGGCUGCUAUCAUCCAGCUUGGUGUACUUUGCUCAAAGCAAUCACCCAAAGAGUGGCUGUUAAUAAGUGAUGCUGCUGUAGAGAUGCAUAAUAUCAGAAAUACAUUCCUCAGUGCUCACUGAUAAAAGUCGUGUGAGAUCAGAAGACUUGAAUAAUAAUCACCGAUUCACCGUACAAAGGUCAUUAUGUUUCUGAUAAUUCUUAUUGAAUUUCAAACACUUUUUGUCAUUUUUCUGAGCAUGUUGAAAACUUAUCAAUUGGUGUGGUGCCGUACCAUCCACUUUCUAUGUCUCAUUGUUUAUAGUAUUUUUGUAUUUCUUGAGUUAUGAAUAAAUGAGGAAGUCAUGACAAUGUCUCUUCAGAAUAGUAGUGCCUACAACAGACAGAGAGCUAUCCUGGAUUAAUUUCAGGGUUUGCAUUAGUUUUCUUUAAUCAUUACAGAAGUUCCAGGGCCAUCUCAGUUCAAUGAGAUAGAUGUUCCAAUGGUGUCAUAAAAUCAAAUACUUAAAGAAAAAGAUGGUAUCUCAGAAGUCAGACUCACAAGCCAAUCUUCUAGGAAACAGGAAAGAUGUUACAUAUACAGCACAAUAUCAUUAGUGAAACCAUUUCUGGUGCCAUCUACGGUAUAGGUAAGAUCAACAUCUGUUCACUCAGUCCAUUUUAGUCACCCAUCCCUAACAGUAACAGUGCCCUUUUGUUCUAGGCUUUUGGUACAGUUCUGUGAUUGAGACCUUUGUUUUACUCCAUUUAAUUCAACAUUCUUAAGCAUCAAUAUUCAACACUCCAUUAUAACUGGACAGUGUUCAUACUGCAGGACAUAAGCAGUUGAACUUUUUCAUCUUUUUGCCAAUUCAUUCAAGGUACAGCAAAUUCUAAAGUAAACAAAAGAAUAUCUACUUUGCUGUGUGGUAUAAAUCACCUUAUGCACCAGUUCAUAUAAGAAUAGCUAGAUAACUACAAGGCAUAAUGACUAGAUUAUGAAGACUUAACUAUGCUAAACACGCCACUACUUUGCCUAACACCCUUCUAGGGAAUAACUUAUGCUCUGAAAUGAAAAAAAAAAGUUGAUGAAGAUUUACAUGUCAUUGUUUGCCCUCGUAGCAAUGCUGAACAUGCGAGUUGUCAACAUCUACAUACUUGGACCAGUAUGUCUUGUACUUGGAAAUGGCAAGGUCAAGCCAGGGCUUAUAAUUCCCAUUGUAAUGAACUACUGCAGCAUUAUCGAUCUCAGCAAUGUCAACAGCUGGAUCAUAGCCCAGGCCCAAGACAUGCCAAGUACGAUUCAACGGGUAUGUCAGGUUGUAGAAAGUAAUUAAACCUGGAGGCAAUGUACCCAGCUUCCACAGCUUACGAUCCUCAUUCUGCAACAGGUCUUCUCUUAGUAAGUGAAACAACAAUAUUCAUUACAGCUUCACUAAAUGAGGGGCAAAAUGCAGUAAGACAAUGCAAUCAGCAGUAGAUUUCUUAUGUCACUACUUACCAAAUCUUGCCAAUAAUGGUAUAUUCCAGUGAUAUUUCGCUUCUUCCACUCCUUGAGGUCAAACAUGUUCAUUCCGAAAGCCCACCCACAAGCAUGCGGAUCGAAGUUCUCUGAGAUCUUUGGGUGUGAGAAGUUGAGAUAAGUGUCAAAGCGAUGGAAACUCUCUUUACAGGUUUCCACAGCGCCAUUUACCAUCCCUUUAAGAUCAAUAUCCCAAAGGGGUGUCAAAUCCUUCUGUACAACAACAUCAUCAUCAAGAAACAGUAUCUUCUCAAGCUUCGGAUGAAUUUCUGGCAUGUAGAACCUCAAAUGGUUGAGCAUGGACAGAUAUUUGGGAUUCCUGUAUUUCAGAUUCUCGUUUCCAUCAGAGAGUGAUGACGGAUCGUGUGCUUUGAAGUAAUAUUCUUUGAGGCGAGCUGACUCCAGUUGCCGAAGAACAGAACAGUAUGACGAAUUGAGCCAUUUGAAAUUGUCUAUGUUCUCCACAUGAACAGUUGCCAGUUGAGGAGGAUGAGUAAUGAACCACAUCUUCAUGGCUGCAAAAUUAAGUCUAUCAGUGACAAUAUGGAACACGUGCUUCUCUGGUUCAUUGGCAUUUGUCACAGUUGAUCUGACAACUACUGAGGCUGCAAGCACAUUAUCAGAAAAUAUAGCAUAGUGGUAGAGUGACCGAUCCUCAAGCUUUUCUUUAUCUUGUUCUGCCUUCAAAGCAGCAGCAUGAAAAUGUUCCUUGGUCGCAUCAUCACGAAAAUAAUAAUCAGUUGUCAGCUGCAUAUGUAGGCAGUGCAAGGGCAUGGGUACUGUCUUCGCAGCAUGCUGAACCAGAAAUGAGUUCUGUUUCUUCACUGCAUCAAUAUUUAGUUCCGUUGACUGCAACAUAGCACGCAAUUUUCUUGACACUUCACCCGAGCUGUACAGAACAUCUCUAGCCGAAGACAGCACAUGCCCCAUUGCUUUUGCUCUCUCUAAGGCACUGCAGAAAUAAGGGGUCAUAAGCACCUUACUCUUUAACACAAAAGUGGGAAAGAGCCAAACUGAUUAAUCUUCAGAAGGGAAAUUUAGUACCUAGAAUCGAGUUCACUGUCAAUAAGUGCAUCCCCGAUAGAUGUUUGGCUUUCUUUUAUGCACUUCAUGAGCAAGGCAUACAUGUCUGGUUCCUUCUGGGAGAGUGCAAUAGUGGCAUAUAACUUGGCCAUUAUUAUCUGAUCUUUCAUGAGCCUUAGUGUUGAAUCUGUAUUAAUAAAGCGGAACUCCUGCCUCCAUAUGUUGUAGCUGCCUCUAACUUUAUUGUUAAAGUUCAUUGAGCUAUUUAUUGCUGCAUUUCGCAUCUCAAGUUCAACCUUCUUAUCCAUCUGAAGCAGCUCCUGAACCCUCCGCUCCUUUCUUCUACGUCGAAAUACCUGCAAGAGCAAUAGCAGCAAACCAACACUCAGAUGGGCAGAAAUAACACAUCACACAGUAAGCCAAACAAAAAAUCUUGAAACACAAGUAAGUAACCACUGCACUGCAUUACAUAGUCACUACAGAGGGAGGAUGGAAUUGACCUGUCGCCUUAAUUUAAUCGGAUCAACAAUUGUAGUUGCCAGAGUUUCAGCACUUGAAACAUUGGUGGUUCCUGAUCCACUGGCGAGUAGAUGAUCCCUGGCAGCAACUUGCUGGCGCAACAGCAGAAGAAGCACCCGUUAGAGCUACAAACAAAAUAGAACAACCUACCAACUUGUCCCCACAAACAACACAGAUAAUUUUUAUUUUUUUCAGAACAUACUGUUCCGGCUACUGGCUGGCUAUCUCUGGGCAACCAAGGGUUCUCCCAGAUAGAGGACGAACCGAAUUCUCUGGCGGUGACUUUGAACAGCUUGAUCCGGCCAUGCUGGUCAGUGUACGCGAUCGUCUUUUCAGCCUUAUCCACAUCCUGCUAACCAUUCACCGUGCAAACAUUAGUGUGGCGAGCGAAGCAACACAAUGCAAUCGCGUGCCCUGAGCAGCCAAAUUCAGAUAGAUAAAUAAUAAAGAGUGACCUGUAGCUUGCUGCAGCCAGGGCAGUUCUCGCGAGUCCCGCGGUCUCUGACAAUCCAAAAUCACACGGCAACAGCGAAGUCAGAGACUUUACUGAAUCGCGUAAUGAGGAAGGAAGAAGGAUGGAUGGCGAUGGUUUCUUACGCUCGGUGACCCGAGAAGAGCCACUGCGACACCGCUGAUCUGGCGGCGGGCACAUGGAUCACGACCUGCGGAGGAGGAGAAGCGGCGGGAACAAUGAGAAAAGGAAAGAGCCCUGGUUCUAAGGGUUGGAACGCAGUGAACCUAACAUUUCGCCGUUGCGGUGAACAGUGCGGGGGUGAGCGGCGACGCGGUGGGUACAAACCUGGAAGGAGAGGAAGCAGAGGAGGAUGAGGAGGAGGACCAGGAGGCCCGGGCGCCGCCGCAGUGGGAGCGUGGUUCUGGGAUACGCUGCCGCGGCCGCGGCCGCCGCCGACGAGGCGGAGGAGGAGGAGGACGCCAUGGACCGGGAGUGGAGUGAUGGGAUGCGGAUUUUUUUUUUUUUUUAAAAAAAAGAAAUAUUUAGGGAGAUGGAUUUUGGGGGACGAGAGCUGGGUGUACUAGGUACUAGCAGGAAGAAUGACGAAUCUUUUUCUGGCCAUAACGGUUAACGGGAAUGGACGGCACGUUUGUCGGGAUUACGGUUCUUCUUGUGGCCUAUAAAAAUGCCACCUUCACCCGUGUCCGUGUUAAAAGAGUGAUGAUAUGUGCUAAACGAGUGACCACGGCAAUCACUUUGAUUUGGAGGAAAGAGCGAUCAGGCAAUGCCUAGACGAGGGUUAGAUAAGUAUGGUGUGAUACGGAACAUCAAUGGUUGGCCUACCUCUACUUUUUUGUUAAGGUGGGAGAGAAAAGUCUAUGAAUAAAUCAGCUAACAGUAGUACUUUCUGUCAUGGUUUAUCAGCCAAACGAACAACUGUCAUCUAAGCAUUUUGCUGACGUGGUAAGAUAGUUAUUGAAGAAAGAGAGUAAAAAUUAUAGAAAGUUAGAAACCAUGGCUACACGAGAACAAGACAUAAAGGGAUGUGACUGGUAGAAAAUGAAGAGACAAUAAAUGUUAUUGGAUAAAAAAUUAUCUCGUAGAAACUAUCCAUUGGAAAUAUAGUUUCUAUGUAUAGUGUCUUUGAAAAUUAAUAAGUAUAACAUUGAGACUGCUCUAAGAAACCAAUGUUUUAUUAAGAUUAGUGUGCUUGUAUUGCACGUUGUCUCUAGGAAAUGUCUUCUUUAAGAUACCAAGUGACUUUAAGAGAGGGAUAAUAAAGCAUUUUAGAAUCUUUUCAUAUGUUCCAUAAGGGCGUAGUGUAGAUGACGGUGCUCGUAAAGAGCAUCUAGGUGUGAUGUGUAAAGAGUUGAUGUCACUAACUCACUAUAGAAACAUUGUUGUGGAGUAAAUGGGACUAAGGUUGUGAUAGAUACAAAACCAUAAUACUCUGGACUCAAGACCGCGUUGCUCUUCUUUAGUUAGACUGUUAGACCUUGUUCAGUUAAUCCCCUAUCAAGAGGAUUAGAAGGAAUUGAGAGGAUUUAAUCCUCUUUAAUCUCCUUCAAUCCCUCCAAUUCCUACCAAAUUGAACAAACCCUAACUUGUACUUUUAAAUCUAAGUAUACUUUGAACCUAACAACAUAUCUACAACCUAACAAUUGCCCAUCAUAGUUCCUCUAAAAAAGUUUCGCCUUCUUUCUGAGAUUAUAGGACAUACUACAAUUAAGUUCAGAAAAAUGUUGCACAAAAUUACAAUUGAGGUUUAUGCAUUGGAGCCAGCACUUGGAAGUUUCUAAGGUUGCACACAAAUUAGCAUAAAACAGUUCUACUUUAUGAAUUCACACUUAGAGUAUAAAUUCUAGAGAGAGAAAUAACAAUGGCAGAAUAGUAUGGUGCAGUGCUAGCAUGCCAAGGAUCAAAAAGUGGGUCAAUAGUCAAGUCACCCCUGGGACAUGCCUACCUCCUUUCCGUAAUGCUACUAGACAUGGGAUCGGGAUACAUAAUCCACAUGUGUGCUUAGCAGUGUGAAGAGAUGGACUUGAAACACACUUCCUUGUGCCGACUGAUGACAUCUGCAGGUAGGCUUAGUUCCAACCAAAUUACAGAACUUUUGACCACCCAGUGGGAAAUGCAGAAUUGGAGGCCUAAAUCCUAGGGCACCAAAUCCUUAAGUGACUCAAAAUCAUUUAUAAAUCCCCAUUACCACCAAAAGUUAUUGCUUGUUAAUCUAAAGCGUUUCUGGACAGCCUUUGUUAGUGGGCAUCCCACUAGAAAUGUCGAUAAUAAAGGAAUGCAGAGUGCCGCCACAUUGCUUUAUUUGGAUUAGCUUAAACCAGCUACAGAGGGAGUAUGACCAAAUCUGUAUGGGCAAGCAAUGAUUCAACAUCACUUUCUGUCUCAAGAUUUUCAGCAAUUAUAAUAUAUAUUUCUUCUAUAUAAUAACAAUGGUUGAUAAAAUCUUUGUUGUAGUGAUUAGAGUAUUUGUUUUCUUCACAUUUGGCUAUAAAAGUUCAGAACUUGUACAGAACCAUGACUAGCAGAAAAAUGGACUGAAUGACCAUGACUGGAACUAUUGUAAGUGCAAUCUGAUGCAAUUCAACUCAGACAAGACUUCCAUGGAAGAAUGGUUGAAUUUUAUGCAUAUGCCAACUAAAAAGUCAUCAUCUUUGUGUACCGCUACACUGUUACAUUGAUCAUCAUGAUCGCCGUAAACUUCGUCAUGACAACAAAAAUUGUGGUCUACUACCUUUACAACGUACCUCCGCAUCAGAAUCGAUCAGUUCAUCCUAAAUGUCCUCAUGACCAUGCCAUGCAUCUACCUGCCCCUGGAGCUGGAGUUGUUCCUAGCGCUGUCACUCCUAGGGGACUGCACCUGACUGCGACGCGAGGACGAGGAGCUGUUCCUGGGCUCCCUCAUCACCCUGCUCUUCACGGACUCGAUCUUCUCCAGUGCCUCCACCACUUCCUUCAUGGAUGGCCGGCUCUUUGGGUCACCGUUCAGGCACUUGAGGGUCAGCUGAGCAGCCAGGAGGGCUCCUUUGGGAUUGUACUGCCCCUCCAGCCCACUGUCCAUCAGCUGGCUAAGCUUCCUCCGGUCAGACAACAAUGGCCUUGCCCAGUUUACCAAGUUCACCUUCUCGCUCUGGCGGCUUGGGUCCAACGCCCUCAGACCAGAGAUCAUCUCCAGUAGUACAACACCAAAGCCAUACACAUCACUCUUCACAUACAGGUGGCCUAGUUCAUGAAAGAUGCAAUCAGUUAACAUUUAGCUCUAUGAAAAGAGCAUUUCCCUUAGUAUGCAUUUAUGAUGCUUACACAAAUUGUCAACAAUAAUAAGGAAUAAACAUAUGGGAGGGAGAAAAACCCUGAUAUACAUACCGGUAGAAACAUACUCUGGAGCUGCAUAGCCAUAGGUUCCCAUGACUCUUGUUGUCACAUGAGACUCCCCACCAUCUGGACCAUGCUUGGCUAAUCCGAAGUCUGAGAGCUUCGCGUUGAAGUGCUGAACAUGAUAUCGGUGUGUGUUGAUUAUAGUAUCGCUCAGGUAACAACAGUUCGUUUUUUUUUGUUUUUUUUUUGACGAGACCAACAGUUCGUUAUCAGUAGCUCUGGAAAGAGUAUUUUACCGAAUCCAGUAAGAUGUUGGAAGCCUUGAAGUCUCGGUAGAUGAUCUGCCUUUCUGAUGAAUGAAGAAAUGCGAGGCCACGAGCUGCACCAAUGAGAAUCUUCAGCCUGAGGCUCCAAGGCAGCGGCUCAGAAACCGCCCCUCCUGUCAAUGGUGAAUAAUCAGUAUUAAUAUUACAACUAGAAAAUAAGAUGUUUCACACAAACAAAAUACCCUGAAUGGCCCAGAAAUAGUAACAGGGAAAACAAGUGGAACCAACUUUUUCAUCAUGAAUUUCCAUUUUGACUCGGCAAGGAUAAAUGAAGGCUGAAGCAACAAGAUAUCGUACAGGUCUGGGCAAUUUGGCUGAUGCUGACAUCCUCCAAAAAUGCUCGUUAGUUGUAUGGCACUAUGGACUAUGGUGCUUCAUAUAUAAUAUUUUAUGAAAAUGAUUUGAGAUGCAGAUGAAGCACCAACAUUUGCAAAGUGCGCUACUGCAGGUGAAGUUGGCAUAAAGAGUUUUGACCAAUGUGACAUAAAGAGAUGUUUCUGGAUCAAAUACUAUCAUUAGGGAAAAAAAUAUCUUCUAAAUAUACUCACUUCGGAACAGGUGGUUCUCCAAGCUCCCCUUUGACAUGAACUCAUAUACGAGUAGUAGCUCGUUGUCAUCCAUGGAAUAGCCCAAGAGUUUGACAAGAUUGGGAUGUGAAAUCCUCCCGAGGAAAUUGACUUCAGACUGCAUUGGAAACAAGCAAAUUAUUUUUUUGGGAGAAAAGCAUAUUUAAGAGAGUAUUAUUUCUUUCUAAGUCGGGGGGGGGGGGGGGGGGGGGGGGGGGGAUAAAGGAAGCCAUGGAGUAAAUCAGAAACCCUUAUAUGUUGACAAGACUAAAAAUAGGAAAGAUAGAAAUAAAAAAUGUGAGAGCACAGGACCAUGCACUAAGUCCCAACAGCUAGAUCAUUCUGAUUGUAAAUAAAAAAGGAAAGAAUACUGAUAAAGAACUAGACUCUCAUAGGGACUCAUCUUCCAAAGAAGCAGAGUUAAUAACAUAUAGAGAGAAAAAAUCAGUACAAAAUUGGAACGAACUGAAAAGGGCAGCAAGCUGCACAAUUGUGUACUGAUAUUUAAGCAUUCACUGAUUCAUUUCCCUAGUUCCCUGAUAGUUAAACCCGGAACCACCUAGAUUGCAGUCAUUAUAUUUUUCCUAAAGCAUGCAAUUUAUAAUGUAACGAAAAACUAGCAACUUGACAGUUUCUGUACCUGCCAUUGUUCCAUUCCCUGCACGCUCUCAGGAUUGAGCUUCUUGACGGCAACCAUGAUGCCAGUGCUAGCCUUUGACGGGUUCAGAGUCUUCUCAUCAACCCAUCCCUUGUAAACCUUGCCGAAUCCACCCUCCCCAAGCACAGUCUCAGGCCUGAAGUUCUUGGUGGCGCUCUUGAGUUCCGCAAAGGUGUAUAUCUUGAGGUUCGGAGACUCAAGAAUCUGGCCCUCUGGGUAAUCGUCGUCGACGCUGACACCACUAACUGUGGACGGCAUGAAGGUGCUGGUGCUGCUAAUCGUUGACAGCUUCCCUGUGGUGGCAGAGCUACUAGUCCUCCUCGAUGCAGACAUUCCUGAACAUGUGACAGGAAAAAAAAAGUGAGGUCUUGAGUAAGUUGGGUAUCAGGACAGGGAAUGAGAAGUUUCAAAUGCAUAAUAAUCUACCAUGGCUUAGAAAUUUAGAAUUUAUUUAUAUAACGGAGGCUAAUUUUGCUAUUGGAGAUAGAUAUAUACGAAAUUGGAAACGAAUUUUGCCAUUUGGAUAGCAAAAGAAAAUUAUACUCUCCAAUAUAUGGUGUAAGUGCAGAGGGUAGAGGCCAAAGGGUUGACGGACCCAGAUAAAUUUUCUUAUACGGCGAGAGAGAGAGAGAGAGGUGGUGUGUUUUAUUCUACAGACAAGUCUCAAUUGACAGAAACCAACAAAAUAACAAAUUAAAUAAAUAUAGUUGCAGAGAGAUUGAAAAUUUUAGUUGAUUCAUCAAUUGUCCCAAACAUGAGUACUUGGCGAGCACGUGCGCCUUAAGUUGAAUAGCAUGUGAUUCUUGGAAAGUACGUAGUUUGUUAAUGAUGAUGUAACAGAAAUUUGUAAAACAACACCAAGAGAAGAAGAACAAGACGACGCGGCGGUAAGUAAAAUAUACGCGCGGGCGCGGGUAAAGAGAACAACCGCACACGAGAUAUGCAUGGCAUCAGAUAAACAAAGGCAUGUUCCAGUUAUGCAAGCAGAGGAUUUCAGUUUCAGGCAACAACCCGAACAGGGAGGAAGGAGGCCACCGCAGCAAGCAAAAGAUUGAAGCUUUAAUUAAGAGAGAAGAAGAGAGGAGGAAAUGCUGACGGGGGUUACGGUACCAGGAGUAGCGGCCGACGACGGCGACGGCGACGCCCUGUUGCCGCGCUGGACGAAAGCGUCGAUGGCGCUGGCGCAGUUCCCCAUGGCAGGCGGCCGGCGGCGCGGCACGGGGGCCAGGCGGCAGCGGUUGGAGAAGACAAGAGAGGAGAAGAGAAGAGAAGAGGAGGCUCUAGCGGUUGCUGGAGGGAGUUCGAUUUGCAACUGCAACUGCGACUGAGAAUGGAACUGGAGUAGAGCCACGGGAAGGAAGGGAGAGGCGGAACCAACUGCGACUGCGAGUCUGCGACGCAGGGGAGGGAGGGAAGGAGAGAGGAGGAGGAUGGAGGCGACUGCCGACUUGCGCUACUCGCUAUAUUGUCGUCCUCUGGCGCGAUGCGAUGCAAGCCACUCGGCUUUUUCGUUUUUUUUUUUUUUUUUGUUCUUGCUCGUGUGAUCGUGUCACGUCUCAGUCUAUCAUAGCGGGCAGAAGGUGGAGAAAAAAAAUGAAAAAUGAAAACAAAAAGAGAGUCCUUUGUUUUCUCUUCUUCUGCCCAACACAAGACGUACAAAGGAAAGCGCGCACGCAUGCACACAGCACACCUUAAAAGUUACUAGUUAAAUACUUCAUCCAUUCUAAACUAUAAGUCAUUCCAAAAAUUUUAGAGAGUCAAAAUAUCUCAAGUUUAACUAAAAUUAUAAGGAUUUUUGACAUCAAAUAGGUAUACUAUGAAAAUAUAAUUCAUGAAUAAAUCUAAUCUAGACAUAAUAAUAAAAAGUCAAAAUUUCUCACCCCCUGUUUUUGGUCGAGUCCAUUCUUUAGAAAUAACUAGCAGAAAUCCCGCGCAUUGCGGCAGGCGCAACUUGUGAACCUAGGACUCAGUUUUUCCUUCUCCUGAUAUAUCAUAAAAUUUAGUUAAACUUGAUAUGCUUUGACUCUUCAAAAUUCUUGAAUAACUUAUAAUUUGGAAUGAAGUGAGUAACUAUUUGACGAGUGAGCUCACGGUCUAGUCACCGUAGGGACAUUCUCCCAAUCAGCUCCAAUCCACUCUUGCCUCUUCCAUCAUGAUUUUAAUCAAAGUUGAUUUUCUUGUUCUAAACUUCUAGAAAAAAAAUACUCUCACAAAAAGAGAACUUCUAAAGAAAUCUAGAUAAAAAGCUUACUUUUUGUAAUGUUGAUUCUAGAGAAAACAAUACGAUGAUGAGAUCCAGUAGCAGGUGAAGGGGUUUCCUCUGCAACCUCAACCACGGUAGAGGGAGUAGAGGUAGCGUAGCAUGGGGUGAGUGACGAAAGGACGCGAGCAUGAUAAAAUUGUCGGAAUUUUUUGAACCACGGUCUAGGAAGAACUUCUACUUCUACAAUAAAAAGGCACGAUGAAGAGAAUUAUGGAUGGAUAAAGCGGCCGCAAAAGUGCAACAUUUAAAGAGGUUGGUGCGCUUUCUUUUACUGUAAUUUGGUGAAAAGCCGGCUUCAAAUAGGGUCUAGGUAUGCUCUACUCCACACCCUACAUGUUUGGUAACACUUCCAACUUAUUCCACUAUCUGCUUUAGCCCAUGCUCGACGACGGCGCAGGAGGCCAUAACAGCAUAAGAAGAGAGGGGCAAGCAAGGGAGGCUAUCGCGACAUAGGAAGACGAUUAGGGCGAGCUAUAGGAGGCCACCUCCAUGGAGGAAGAUGAGGAGGGAGAGCGGUGAAACGUUUGCGCAACUCGAGAGCUCUCCUCACCAGAGUGAAGGAAGACGAGGGUGCAUGGAGUCCGCGGUCACUAGAGACCGAGUCGACAGGAGGGAAGGAGGGUACGGUGGUUAAGAAAAAUGAUGGGAGCAGGAUUGCAUCAUGAGGAGUUGGUUUUUCUGUUCCACCCCAGUGCAAAAUUGGCGGAGCAGGUGGGAGUAGCAACAUUUUGCAGCGCUCUGCUACCUAAAUCUCUAGUGGAGUGGAAUGAAGCAGAACGCUCCCAAUCUAUGCCUAGUGGUAUUUCUUUUUUCAUUGACAUUAUAAACACAAGGCUCACAUACACACACUCAUUGGUGCAACACACACUCAUACUCACUCUACCUAAAGCACCUAUCAUGAGUAGAAAAACACAUAUUUGGAGGCAAUUAAAAGGUGUUUGUAGAGGUUGUUGGGAGAAACCCAUUGCUAGUUCAAUGGCUGUGCAAGAGCACAAUUUCCAACUGCGGUUUGUAUAUGAAUGUGAAGGUGUUAUUCCCAAAGGCAAAUAAUUUUUAACCCUUCUCAAUUCCUUUCACCUUAUCAACCUCCCUAUCUCUAGCUCUCCCCUGUACCGAUGGAGCUUAAGGCAAGGCCACCUCUUGCCACAACCUAAGUAGUAGUUAUAAGGCUAAUAAUAAUCAACGUAAAAUUGGUAUUUUACAAUCUCAUAUUAAUUUGUACUCUCUAUAUAACCUAUCCACAGUACUAGAAGAAACUAUUUAAAUGGUAAUUUGUACUCUACUUGUUAUUUAUUGUUAGGUAUUUAUGUUGUUAGUGACUAAUUGCUCUAGUAUUUGUGUGCACAUUGAUCUCUAUAAUGCAAAUUGACCCUUCUUAAAAGUUGAAGUUGAUCCUAGCUCUGCCACUAUCGUGUCAUCGUCUAGAACUAUCACACCGAACUCAGCCUUGUUAGUUUGCAAGUCCUACACACCACCCGGCGGUGGCCACCUACCUAGUGGUCAUGGAGCCCACAACUAUAGCUUUAAAUAUGGCUAGCCAUAUCAAAUGAUACCAAAGAAAAGCCAAAGUAAACUCCUCGUUGGUUCAGUGACCACGAAAAACAUGGUUUCCAUGAGCGGUAUGCACCCACAUAUAGAUAUCGAUUUCUAGAGAUAUAGAUAAUUUAAGACACUUUUUUAUGAAAACCGUCUUUUUAAGUACACCUGUUUCGCGGUCCCCAAUCUUGCACCUCCACCUCAUUGACCUCACCUACUUUGGUAGAAUUCACGUGGCCCUUAUAACAUCUGGCAAAAUUCAUCACUAUCUUUAGGUCCUACGAUGAUAACCCUACAACAACCAAAUGCCUAACAGUGCAAGACACAGUCUCAUGUCCAUUAUUGAUGGACCUGACUUGCAAAAAUAAGAAUUUCUAUAGACGAUCGUUUAUGUGAUCCAUAUCUAGAAAGAGGCCGGUUUAAAAAAACAGUUCACAUAUGCAUUUUAGUUGCACUUCUUAGCCAUGGGGCCCACAGUAAUAGUGUAUAAACGUCACCGAGAGACUAACUUAAUACAUCAUCCACAAAUGGGGAAAAAAAGGUAGUUAUUAGCCAAAAAUACAAAUAUUUGUGCUGAGUAACAAGCCUAGAUUUUGUUCGGCAUGCAAGUGGAAACCGCCGGCAAAUUGAACUGGUCGGUUAGUCGGUGAGCAUGUGUUAUUUGUCUGCUUGUUUCCAUUCUUAUUUUUUAGAGAAAAAUCUGCGUGUGUUUGUUGUUUCCAAUGGCUGCUCCUGUGCUGCUUCUUGGGUCACACUGACCGGCAAACAAUUUUUUUUUUGACGAGUCCGGCAAACAUUGACGCUGAGUCGCGCAUACAUACACUGUCUGCAGUCUGCUGUGUGUGCUUUAUCUAGUCGGCCAACCGCACAUAAGAAUAUAUGAGACCGGCAGGCACAACUUGAGUUAUUAUGCAUCCAUUAGACAGGCAUGGUGUGUAAAGGCAUAUGGGCGCUGGCCUUUUUUUUUUCAUCCAUCAGCAUAUACGAGUAGAACUACUAGAGGUUGCUAUGGUAGUGUAAAAAAUCCAAUAUUAAUCCACCCCGGCCUUGCCCGUUUGUGUUGGGAUGAGAAUUGAUCGAGAGAGACUGUCGCCGGCCGGGCAGGCGCGCGGGCACCGGCAGCGGCAGGAUCUCUAGUUCUCUAUCUCUGAUGAUCUCUCAGUCAAUAACUGGGUCAAUGGAGGACUAGCUUACUGAUGCUUGUGUCCCUGGCCAUAUCAUCUCUUACGUCAUCGGUUUCUUCAUGCAUUGUGGCCUUGUUUAGUUGCAAAAAAUUUUGCGAAAUAGACACUAUAGUAAUUUCGUUUGUAUUUGACAAAUAUAUUAUCUAAUCAUGAAAUAAGUAGGCUCAAAAGAUUUGUUUCGCAAAUUACAGUCAAAUUGUGCAAUUAGUUAUUUUUUAAUUUAUAUUUAAUGCUUCGUGCAUGUGUCGUAAAAUUCGAUGUAACGGAGAAUCUGAAAAAUUUUGCAAAUUUUUUUGGAACUCACAUGUGUGACUUUUCACUCACGCACUCCGUCAGCUGCUGAUGAUGCUGAGCUUCCCAGCGCUACUACACGCUAGGAUCUUUCCCAUAUACUCGUUGCAGACGGCCGACCAGUCAUGCACCUGUGUUUUCUUUGUAGUUGAAAUUCCAUUGCACCCCAAAAACAAAGUACAACUAUGAGUGAAGAUUGUCCCAUUCGAAAUUUUCCAGUGCUUGAGUAACAUUAUGUCUGGGCGAAUAAGCUAAUACUAUCUCCGUCUGAAAAGAAUAUAAUUAUGAGAUCUGUGUCAGUCAAUAUAGCUUAAGUUUAACUAAGUUUACAGUAAAUAUAGAGUAAACAUUUAUAUAUGGAAAUAAUUUUAUUAUAAAAAUUUAUUCUAUAUAACUAAUUUAAGGAUACUUAUUUAUAUAUAUUAUUAUCGUUAGUAUUUUUUAUAUAAAUUUAGUUAAAGUUUAAAUAGUUUGACUUAUUUAAAAACGAGAAUUAUAUUUUUUUUAGACAGAGGGAGUACCUUAAGACAAGAGCAUGGCUCACCUUUUUUCAGUGAGGUUUCUCACUUGAUGACCGAUUGUCUGCAUCUAAGAAAGUAGAGGCCUGGGUAUGGGCGGAUCUAGAGGUAUUCCCCAGUAUUCUUGAAAAUACUUAACUAUUUUGAUAUACUUUUAUGUAGAUAUGUGUAUAUACUUAUAUAUAUGAAUGUAUAAUGCUAUAAUCUAUAGUAUUUUUCCACAUUUGAGCUUAAAACAGGUAAAAAAACUAGUAUUUCAAUUAGAAGUUUAGAUUCUAGAAAGUAAAUAUUGAUUUAAAGUUGCUGAUUUACAGUGUUAUUAGCCAUAUUUUAAACCUAUAAAUUUGACCCUUUUUUUAUAACAUAGAAAUGGGAAUACCCAAGUUUCAAAUCCUAGCUUCGCCACUGGGUGUGAAGCAAACUAGCAUGAACAGUCGUGGCCAACACUCGAUUGCCAGUAUAGAGAGCUGCAUCCUACGAACUAAGGCCCUGUUUAGAUUGAGGAUGAAAAUUUUUUAGAUAUCACAUCGGAUGUGUCGGAAGGAUGUCGGGAAGGGUUUUUAAAACAAAUUACAUAGCUCGUCAGGAAACUGCAAGACAAAUCUAUUAAGUAUAAUUAAUUUAUCAUUAGCACAUGUGGGUUACUGUAGCACUUAAGGCUAAUCAUGGAGUAACUAGGCUUAAAAAUUUUGUCUCGUGAUUUUUAACCAAACUGUGUAAUUAGUUUAUUUUUUUAUCUAUAUUUAAUGUUUCAUGUAUGUGUCCAAAGAUUCGAUGGGAUGGAUGAAAAUUUUUUGGGUGAAUAACUAAACAGGGCCUAAGAGCCAUAGCCAUUCUCAUACGCAUCCAACACGACUAUAGAGAUAAGAGCAUAUGACCUAAGGACAUAUUUAACUUUACCUUAUUUUUAUAGACAACCCAGUAUUGGUAAAUAUGUAGCAGUUCGCAUAGUCACAAGAUAAUAUUGAUAAACUAAUUAGACGAUGUUUGGUUCAUGGACCGUGGUACCUAUAUUUAAGGGUACUCACAAUGUAGACUCUAUUAUAUAGUCUAAAGUUAUUUAUUACAUCGAACAAUGUGGACUUAGAGUCUAAAAAAGAUUUAGAGUCUUAUUUUUUCUAUAUCUUUUUCAAUAAAUAUGCUGCCACAUCAGCAAAAUACCAUAAAUAAUAUGUAAUUAAUUGUUUUAGAAUCUGUGAUAGAGUCUUGCAUUGUGAGUGCUCUAAUCAAAUUUUUUAAAAAGAUUGACUUCUCGAAGCAAGAGAUGUGCAGUUAUUUCUGGAUUGAGAGAGUUUUUUAUAUGUGUGGACACAAAAUUUAACUUCCGCUUGGAUUCAGACAAAGAAGCAAGACCCUCAAGCUAGCAACGACUCCUGCCUGGGUCCUGUCUAGCUAGGUUAGCAACCAAGAAUUGAAUCCUGACGCGUCCUUUGAAAAUGACCGCUAUGCAUGGUGAAGUAGCAAGUACUUGUGGUGUGCAUGUAAUGCACGCGUGGACGUACUACGCUGGAGAGCAGUUGUCAUCGUCGUCCAUAUUGGUCCAUCUAGGAGAAAAACUAAGGUUGUCUCCAGAGUGGACACAGGUGUGCCGCAUAAGUCUCAUUUAACAACAUGUGUAAUCACCCAAUCUGUAGGGGUUUUGAUUCGCUCUUCUUCCUCGUUGGACAGUUGAUAUGGAAAGAGUGGAACACAAGGAUUUUCAAUGGUGUCGCAACUCCGCCGACACAAAUGGACUGAAAGAUCCAGGAAGAGGUUGACAAUUGGUGUCCUGUGUUGACAAUUGGUGUCUUGCGCUAGCUUACGGCAUUGCGGGUGCUCAUGGCCUUCUCUUGAAUGGCCGAACCCCUUAGUCACUCAGUUUGUAUCCAUGUAAUCACAACUUCUUGUUUCAUCGGGCUAUGUAGCUUCAAUAACUUCGGAUUACCGUGGCAACUUUGUGUUGUAACAAACUCUCUUCUUUUUAAUAAAAAAAAUGUGCUAAGGCACGAUCGCGCGAAAAACAACAACAUGUGUAAUCUCUCUGUGUGGGGUGUCAAAGUGUGGGCAUCUCGCCCGCCUUUGGUCACACCAUGUAAAACUUGUUAUCCCCUUAAUGAAAUGCGUGCAAUGAUGUGCAUGUUUGUGAAAAAAGUGACCUCAUUUACCUCAUCCUUUCUAUUUUUCUCCAUCUCCUCUUUCUCCUUGUAUUCUAUUUGUUUUUUCUCUUCCUCUCCAUCCUCUCGAAGACGCGUUAACGCCCCUCCUCCCUCUCCCACUAGUGAAUCCAAAAAAUUUCCAGGCUUUUUACCAUGAGCUUUAAUAGCACUUGAUAGAGUGCACAGCUAUAUCCAAAUACAAAUAAUAGAUGUACUAGCCAAUGAAUGUGGAGGCAUAACACCAUAUAGAAGAAAAUACACAAACGAGAAUAACAUUAAGGCAUGAUAUUUUUUAUUAACGAGGUUUUUGCGAUGUGCCUAUAUCUUCGUGGCAUGCAUGCAUACGAGCGCUCCUCAUUAUAAACAAUAGGUACACCAACAUCUAGGCACUCCUGGGGCUUGUCACCGUCCAAAGUAGCCACCAAGUGCUCACUUUGUUAUAGCAAGGGAUUAUAUCAUUUUUAUGGCCUAUAGAUAUAGAGUUAGAUAGUCCCUAGCUAAUAUGACUCAGAUCGUAAUAUAAUUAAAACAUACGUAUAAAAUAUUCAACAAGUGGUGGUAUGCUUGGUGCUAGAGGCGGAGAGGUCGGAAGAGUUAGUGUGCUGAUAAAUCUUCGUUUAAUUUGCCGGAUCGGAGGAGGAAGAAAAGAAGGGCUUUCGUUCAAAAAAGUAUCCGCAUGCAGCUGGCUUUGCGCGGUAUAGGUAUAUGGUGGAUAUGCAGAAGCAAAUGUAUUAUUUAUGCAUCGAUCAUUGACCACAAGAAGUCAAGAACCCUUUCAAAAAAAAAAAAAAAAUUGGACUACCACCAGUGUACGUAAGGGUAGUAUACUAGCAUCAUUGUAGCUAGGCUAUCCAAUAUAUUCCACACCGACGACGACCAUGCCAUGCAUGCCCCCAAGCCAAAAGCCAAACCGUGUGUGCUGGAUAUAUCGGAUCGGAGAGAAAGAGAGAGAUGACAUGCAAUGCCAAUGCAUGCAUAUUCCGCCGAUCCCAUCAUCCCAUCUCGCACGUUCUCACAUACGAUAGAUAUAUCUACAUAAUACCAAAUUAAAACAGCAUGCAGUGGUUGGUCACCGGACGUACGGACUCAGCAUAUGCAUCAUGUAUGUAAAUGUACGUCAAUGGCGGUCUCUACGCUGCGCUGCCUGCUGCUGCUGGAAUAAUCCGGGUAUAUAUUUUCCGGACCACAGAGACUCACUUGGAUGCCUUCCAAUUCCAAUAUCCAUGAUGAUAAUCUAGUCUGUGAGCUUCGGUCGUCGGUAGCUUCAGUGUGAAAAUACGACAGAGAAAUAGGGGAUAUAGAGCUUUUAAUUUAGUACUCGAUCGGUAUGGAGUUUAUUACUUUUAUUUGAGGGUACUGACUUGCCUAUACGUACUAAACAAAGGAAGUGUGUGUGUUGGGUCCAGAGAACUAAAAGUAUAUGAGCACAGAAUUAUUUUCAAAAUAAAUUGAAAGGGUAUAAUAGUACUUUAGGUUAGCUACCCCUUAUAUCGUCUCUCCUUUCAUCUCUCUGAGCGCAACUAGAGAAAGAGGCCGUACGAUCUCUUGUCCAGCUUCUCCGCCUUCGCCUCGAUCUCCACCUGGAGCACCCUGGAGAUGUCGUCGGAGGCAGCCUGCUAGUGCUUGGUGUUCCCGGCGUGAUGAUGAUGCCAACCAACGAUCGAGGAUCCUGAAUCCCAGCAUGGCAAAGAUGGCAGGUCUUCUUAUUGGCGUAGUCUCGGACAUGAUGCAUGGUGACGUUGAGCGGCCGGGUAGUCGAUCGCCGCCGAUGCCAAAUUAGCCGAGCCGAAAGUGGAAGAAGCAUAGCGUUGGCGGGUGUGCUCCGGAAUGAGAGCCCAGAUCGAGGCGAGGGAGCAGACAACCAAUGUUAUGCUGUAGACGAUCGACGCUCUUCCGGUCAAGUCUGUCGCUGAGCCAGCUGAAGAAGAGCUAUAUAUAUAUAUAUAUAUAUAUAUAUAUAUAUAUAUAUAUAUAUAUAUAUAUAUAUAUAUAUAUAUAUAUAUAUAUAUAUAUAUAUAUAUAUAUCCCCUGAGAGCGUACCGCACAGUGUGACGCCGUUCACAGCGGCCGCGACGUUGGGUGGCAGCGUGGCCGUGUCCGGCUUGUAAGUUGGGGUCGAUGAUGUAGACGUGGUCGAGCUGCUAGCUAGCUAGAUGCAGAAGAGAGGUCGACACGUUGGCGAAGAAGCCCAUGCCCGCCAAAACGAUGGAAGAGUACGUCCAUCUUGUAUGAGAAGGCCCGGCCCGCUCGUUCUGUUCCCAGGCCACCACGCGUUCUACUUCUAGACUAGAGGCAGCAGGCCGCCUGUCUCGACUACAAAAUCCACCUAAACUGCAGUAUUAUUAAUUUCAAGCCAAUGGAUAUGUGGUUGCCUGGCCUGUGCAAUUGUGCAUCGUAGUAUACGAGGCCUUGUUUAGUUACACCUAAAUUUUUUUUAAAAAAAAAAUCAACAUUUUUGACACAUGCAAUCUUACAACACAUAUAUAUAGAGUAUUAAAUAUAUAUAUAAAAUAACUAUUUGUAUAGUUUUUUAUAAUUUGCGAGACGAAUCUUUUGAGCUCAAAUAAUUGUCAAAUACAAACAAAAUGCUACAGUACCCUAAUCCAAAAAUUUUUUUGAAUCUAACAAUGCCUGAAUAUAAUCUCCUCACUAUACAUGUACACGAGUCUAGUGAUCUAUAUCUAAUCUAUAAUUUUGAACUCCACUAGCUAUAUACUUCAAUAUGCAAGCUGUCCACCGCAGUAAUUCACUAUCUCCAUACUUAUUCCUCCUACUGGGCUGAUGGUUUAUCUUCUCUGUUGUAUGAAAGUUUGGGAUAGGUUGAAGGCCUAAAAGUUUGUAGGCAUUCUCUGAGCAUAUCGUACAUCUUUUAUUUGUAGAUGAUAGUCUUCUAUUCUUCUGAGCGAAUCAACAAGGGUCACUCCAUUGCAGUCAAGAAUGUUCUCAAUAUUUUUUAAGAGUGUACACAGUUGAGUCCAAGCAACUGUUUUUUGCUCGUGAGUGAAAAUUACUGUCCAAGCAACAGUUGAGUUGAGACGAGAGGCUGGAGGGUUCGAACCACCGGAUGUUAUUUGUCCACGUGGCAGUGGAUUAAGGUGUCUAUACACCGAGUCUCUCGGUGGAUUAGGACAGAUCAAAUGUGACAAUAAAAAACGAAGGGAGUAUUUAUCGGUAGAAAUUACUGGCCUUACAUUUAAUCAUAGAAAAUUCCACCGGUCAUCUUAAAUCUGUGUGCCGUACGUAUCAAGAAACCAUGCAUACUGUAAUCUACAUUAUUGUGGCCCUACACCGUCCAAUCAGACGUUAAGGCCUUGUUUAGAUCCAAAAACUUUUUAGAUUUUGACACUGUAGCACUUUCGUUUUUAUUUGACAAACAUUGUCCAAUCAUAGAAUAACUAGGCUUCAAAGAUUCGUCUCGUGAUUUACAGGUAAAUUGUGCAAUUAGUUAUCUUUUUUUAUCAAUAUUUAAUGCUCCAUGCAUAUGCCGCAAGAUUCGAUGUGACGGAAAAUCUUAUAAAGUUUUAGAUUUUUGGGUGCAUCCAAACAAGGCCUAAGACGAUCAUUUUCAGGUGCUUCCUUCAAACACGAUGGCUCUCAUACCAUGCAUCCCACUAGCUCCCCCUCACCCUCCCGCGUCAAUGUCAUUAAUAAACUAAAUUACUCUCUCUCCCUGAAAGCUGCAACUUAUAGAGCUGUCCUAAGUCAAACUUUUACAACUUUGACCAAAUUGAAAAAAACGCUAAGAUUUAUAGUACCAAAUUAAUACUAUUAAAUUUAUUAUAGAAUAUAUUUUCAUAAGAUACUUAUUUUAUGUCAUAGAUAUUGAUGCUCUUUUCUAUAAAGUUAGUCAAAGUUUGACUGACACGGAUUAUAGGAGUUGAAGCUUUCAAGGACAGAGGGAGUAUUACAUAGCAACACCUUUAGCUGGUAUUUUCCAAAUGACCCUCAUGUAUCCUUCAUCGCAGUAAUUACCUUGGACUUGGAGUCUGGCCUCUAGAAUUCUUAAAACACAAGAUUAGAAUAAAAAAUAUGUAGAAUUGGAAUUGCAUGAAAAUGCAAAAGAAAGUUUUCGUGAGAUCCAACCUCAUGCUAGUAAUCAGAAAAAAAUUCACACGUGUUGUUAACGCUUUGUUAGGGAUAAGCUAGGGUGGUAACCAGACAUGUAGCUUUAGUUUCUCUAAGAAGCAACUUGACCUUUGAGCCACAUCCAUGCAAUGAGUUUAUGGCUGGUGUCUAUACAAGGCAAAAUUAUGACCAGUAUUGUCUUUGAAGACAUGAUAUUUCAAAGAAAAAGGAAUUAAAUAUUUUUGAAAGUACUUUCCAUAGGUGAAUAUAAUUAUCGUGUAUAUAUUUUACACCGUGAGUCUGUAUAUAUAAUAUAUACGACUCGUUAUGCACCGAUGUGUGUGUGAACAAUACCAGUCUUAAUGGUAAGUUUUAUGACACAGUUACUAAGACACUGCUAGAUAUCUUUAGUGUCGUGUGACAUGUUUCAUCUAGAUUGAAAAAGCAUGUCAGUCUUUCUCUUCAUAAUUAAUAUGUCAACUCAACAAAAUUUGCUGAUGUGUCACAAACAUUACAUGAGAAUAAAACACCUUUGAAGAACCCAUUGAAACUGGUCUAGUAAUGGUUCAAGUUAAUGAAGCUUGACCGGCAAAAAGAAAAAAAAAACUGGACUAAAUUAAGGUGGUAUUAUCGUGCGUGUCAUCAUCAUGGCACCGUAGAGCCAUAUAUACAAGACUUGUAUUAUUGAGUGAAGACCAGCUCUUGCUUGGAAUAUCGUGAAAACGUUCUGUCUCCUUUGACUGGGAUAACAUUAACAUCAUGAAUGAAUUGAAGCAAGUAGCUAGGAUGACGUGGUCAUGCUCAACUUAAUUUCUAGUGCUUGUUUUGGAGUAGCGUACGUGGUGGGGGUCAGAGGACGAAGGUGGAGAUGAAAUUUAAUUAGUGGUCCGGUAUAAUUGAUGUGGUCAUGCUCAACUUAAUUUCUAGUCUCUAAACUUUCAAAGGGCCGGCAUAUGCAUGAGCAUGAUGAUAUAUGCAUGGGUCGAUGGGUGGUGGUUCCAGUCAGCGCGAGUCAGAUGAGACCGAGACGACCUGAAACAAGAAGCUGUUCGUUCUCUUCUUUCUCCAGCCCAAGGAAAAGAAGAAGAAGAAGAAGAAGAUUCGCAGAACCUUGCUGCCUGCUGCAACGCCUCUGACGCCCGUACGUGCACACGACUCACCCGCCAACCGCCAUCUAUAUCCACUCAAAAAAAAAAAAAAAAAAACCCUCACCCGCCAUUUACAUUGCAAAUGCAGAUGCUCCCAACUUUUUUUUUAUUAGCUCCAUGUGUACUUGUUUAAAAAAAAUUUCACUGCGCGCGCAUGCAUGCUUGUUUCUUGGAUCCAGUAUAUUUUCUUGGAUCAAACAUAUAUAGUAAAUAUUUGAUGAACUAGCUGCAAGAUAUAAUAUAUAUAACUAAAUUAUACGAGCUGACCACUAACCUAGCAUGGGAUGCCACUCAGGUUCCUUAACUCCGGACUUGUUUAGUUCCGAAAACUGAACAGUUUUCGAAACUGUAGCACUUUCGUUUUUAUUUGACAAACAUUAUCCAAUCAUGGAGUAACUAGGCUUAAAAGAUUCAUCUCGUGAUUUACAGGUAAACUGUACAAUUAGUUUUUAUUUUUGUCUAUAUUUAAUACUCCAUGCAUGUGGCGUAAAAUUCGAUGUGACGAAGAAUCUUGAAAAGAUUUUGAUUUUUGAGAGUGAACUAAACAAGGCCUCCCUUGAUACAUCUUCAUGUCUGGCAGCUUGUCUUAGGGCUUCUCCAGUGGCUUUGAUAAAAGCAACUCGCGCUCCUACGUGAAGACUGAAUGAGAUGACAGCGACCUGCGCGAACUUGUUGCCAGUGGAGACGACUGCGGAGACGGCCACGACCUCGCCAAUGGAGACAGUCGUGACCUGCGCGUCUCCGGUGAAGCGAACAGAAGCGAAGAGGAAAAAAAAGAAGGGAUGAGUCAGAUAUGGGUCCCACACCAUGUAGUAUGAAUUGACUCUUCAAUGAUUCGGUUUGGGAUAUACUCCAUACGUGGCCCUUUCUUUAUUUGUUCUUUAUUCGAUGAGCCGAUUCACCAUUGUGUAUAGAUGGCCAUGGUAAGGUGACAUCCCAUUGUGGGUGCCCUUACGAUGACACAUGAGGUCUGACCUUAAACUUAUCAUAGGUAUGUCACCUACUCCUAACUUCCACUUAUAGAGCACAACUUUGACCCUAUGGCUUCAACUAUUAAAGCAGACAUCAGGAUAUUCGAGGUGAAUGAUGAAGAAGCGUAGGGAUGGUUAACAACGAUGCGGUGAGAGACUAAUGUCUAGGGGAGCACGGAGAUAGAGCGUCGUCCACACUACUUCAACAAUACUUUUCAGCGGAUGAACAAUAUUUUUCUUUCGCAAUAUUUCAUCAUAAGCCAAAAUUCAUCGGAACAAACAGGAACGCUGCACGAAGCUUGUGAGGCCUGUUUGGAUAUGUAGGGAACUUACGACAAAUUUGGCCACCAAAAAAUAACAUUUUAAAAAGACAUGUAUUAUAAUUUAUAAGCCUUAACAAGCAGAGGCAAACCUAGACUUAGAGAAUGUGUAUUGAAACCUUGAAAUGAUAAAAAAGCUCGAUUGCAUAACCCUUUUGUUUUGGCAUGUAUAUAUAUAGUUAAUUGUAUCCUUGAAUACCAUUGAUUAGUGAAUGUAACAAUGUCCUCAAAUUAAUAAACCCCCCCCCCCACACACACACAAGCUCCAAUAACUGAUAGUGCAAUUUUGAGAGUUCAUUCAUGGAGACCUAGGUAGAUGAAAUGAAAUUUUGAAACAAUUUUAGAGCCCGCGAUGUGUUUUACUCAUAGUUCGGCUAGGCGGCGACUAGUCGCGACUAGGCGCUGGGCGAAGCCCGUCGCCUCGACUAGGUGGGUAGUCGCCCAUCUCGGCGAUAGGCGGAACUAAGGGGCGCGCGAGAUGGGCGUGGAAGCGACGCGGAAGCGGAUGCGGACGCACGCGCCCGCGGAAAUUUGCCGCAGCGAGCCAGGGCGCGAAGGUUUCCGCGCGGAGGCGGACGCCGAGGGCAUGCGCGCGCAGAUGGAAUCAGGCGCGAGGUCUUCCCCGCCGGCGCACCCCUCCCCGUCCCAUGGUCAAUCCCCUUCCCCUCCUCCGCCAGCGGCUGCUCUCCCCUGCUCCUCUCCCCUCCCAUGUUCUUCACCCCUCCCUCUCAGGCUGCUCCCCUGUCCCGUGUCCCCUCCCCUGCUCCCCGCCUCCUCUCUGAUUGAGUGUCUGUGACUGCAUGUCUCAUUGAUUGCCAAAACGCCUAGGAAAACGUCUAGGAGCGCCUAGGCGCGAGUACUCCCGACUAGGCGCUAGGCAAUGGGUCAGCGCCUAGAUUCCGCCUAGCGCCUAGCUAAACCUUGGUUUUACUCAACAUAGGAUACACACAUUAGCCUGUUCGAUUGUCUAUAUGUGGACUGGUCAUACUCUUCAUGAAUACAGUAUUGAUCAUACUCUCCUUGAAUGCAGCAGCACAUCAUUUGGUUGGUUGUAUGCUAGGCAAAUUGGGCCUUCUAUGUCUUCUAGGCAGGCAACCAAACACGCUAAUAGAGAACAUAGAAGGAACAGUAAGCCCAACAUGCAAAUUGGGCCUCUACUUUUUCCAUUUGCAUGCUGCCCUGUAAAAAAUAGGGACCCAAAAUCUAUUGCAACUCUAGCACAAGCCCCUACAAGGAGCUCCAGGUACGCAAGGUCGAUGAGGUUGCCGUGGAAGUAGUAGGACCUCAUAGUGUUGUGCUAGUCGGGAAUGACGGGCACGGCCGCCGCCGACACGGGCAGGAGGCCGUUGUUGUCGUCGCCGCCGGCGUAGCAGACUAGGCCUCGUGAGACGAACACGGGGAUCUGCGGGUCCGGCUUCGGCGGCUGGUUGGCGAGCGUGACCAUGUGGUAGUGUGUCGGCGGUGCGUCGCAGUCAUCAGCACGUCAAUCGUCUCGCCCAGCGCGACAGUGACCAUGUUCGUCUCAAACAACGUCAGGUAGUUGCCGUCGGCGCCGGCCGCCCUAGCUGCGUGCAGGUGCUGCUGGAGACGCGGAACCUCCGGGUGAAACGCGGAGCCUCCAGGCAGGUCUACACCCACCUCCCUCUCCUUCGACGGCGGCCUCGUCCUCACCAAUAGUGCGGCCCACAAGGUGCCCUGGCCGACACACCAACAACGCGGAUCAUGACGGCCUGCGGCCUGCUCGUGAGGUGGGAGAUGGAGGCCGGUGGACUGCGGCCUGCUGCUCGACGACGCCUGGAGAGGAGGGGGCGCUCGCAUGAAGGGCGAGGAGGAGGCGGUGGGAGGGCGGCGCGGUGGCAUUGGGGGCGUCGGAGGAGAGGGAGAGGAUAGGAAGGUCCUGUUCUUGGGGGCCUGUAACUAAAAUUUGGGAGUACUCGUAAAAUGAGAGCCCACUUAGGAGGUAAUUAGAAUUGUUUUUUUACUCAAGCUCUUAAAAUUUAGAAUGUAGGCCUAUUUAGAACUCCAUUGGAGUUGCUCUAAGAGCAACUCCAGCCCAGCAUGCAAAUUGGGUCCCUACUUUUUCCAUUUGCAUGUUGUUGAGCCGUCCUCCUGCUAGCCUUCGGCGCCAUCACCUUCCUUCUCAUCCGCCACUGCCUGGCCGCCCUGCGCCGUCGACCCUCCGUCGACGCCGACCUAGAGGCACGAGCUCCAGUAGCGCCUCGUCAUCGUUAGCCACAGCCAGCGGCGGCAGCGGCCAAGCCCAAGUAGCAGCAGCAGCAGCAGCAAGCGUUACUAAUAGCAGCCGUCAAGAAAGAGGCGCAGCAGCAGGUGGAGGCGCUGACCGGUGGCUUCGACGAGGCGGUCGUGGUGGGCCACGGUGGCUCCAGCACAUGUACCUCACCAGACUCAUGGACAGCUCACCUAUCGCCGUCAAGGUGUACGGCUGUUGUUCGAGAGGAUCCUAUUGCUAGGGACUCAAAACUAAAAUUUAGGAGUGCUUUUCAAAUAGGAGUCCUAUUAAAGUGAAUUUUUUUACGAUUUAGAAUAGGGACCUUGCUCUAAAGAGCCUAACCGAAGCCCCCUACAUAUACGAAUUCAAAAACCGUAAACGACCCUAGUUCGUAGGAAGUUUCCAACCGACUUGAACGAACUCGCGUCGAAUUCCAUUCCAUUGAAAACACGCGACGCGAGCGUCCUCCAGUCCAAGUCCGUGUCGUUCUACCUAGCGUGCGUGGACCAACCAAUAACCGCAUAUAUAUAUAUAUAUAUAUAUAUGCUGCCACGCCCACGCACAUACCGUAUUCAUCAGCUGAUGACAAGAGAGACCAGCAGGGCGGGGGCGCUCCGCUGACUGAUCAGCCCAGCCCGCCUCGCCCGCGUUUUCUUCUUCAUCAUCAUGGGCCAAUCGCCAGCCAUGCAGCCGCCCUCGCCGCGCCGCCGCGCCACCACCAGGGCCCUACUGCGCCUGCUCUUCCUCGUCGCCCUCUCCCUCGCCGCGCUGCUCGCCUUCGUCACCUCCACCCCGUCCUCCUCCUUCUCCACCGCGCGCCGCGCCCUGCAGCUCGUGCCGCCGCGCCGCCACCGCCAGCCGCUAACCACCCUCCGCGCCGUCCGGAGGGACGAGGACGAGCCGGACAGGCCCACCUCGCCCGUCGUCGCCCCGCGAGCGGUGGGGCAGGGCCACCACCGCUCGUCGGACCUCGACGCCGUGCUGCUCCCGGACUGGGAGGUCCUCGUCCUGCUCCGCCCCGGCGACGACGACGACGCGCCCCCCGGCAACGCCACGUGCGCGUUCCCGGCCGGGGCCACGUCCCCGGCGCGGUCGCUCGGGAGGAUGCCCGCGUCCGGCCGCCGAGCCUACACGUGCGCCAUGCCCAGGCCGGAGCGCCGCCACAGCAGGCCCUUCCGCGCGCCACGCCUCGUCGUCGUCGCCGCCACUACCACGCUGUCGUCGUCGUCCUCGGAGGAAGAGCGGUCGUUGACGCCGGAGAUGAUGCGUUGGAGCGGCCGCCUCGUGUACGACUCCGCCGCGCUCGCCGCCGGCGGCGACGUCCUCGUGUUCGCCAAGGGAGUCAACGCGCGCCAGGGAGUCAACCGCGACGCCACGGACGUCCGGUGCAUCUACUACCGCCGCGGCAUUAGCGGCAGCGCCGCCACCGUCGUCGCCUCGCUCCCGGCCUCUACCUCGGCGCAGCAGGUCUUCCGGUGCCCCCCGCCGCCAAGCACUGCCGCCAUGACCAUGACCGCGUCCCCAGCCGAGGCGCAGCAGCUUCGCGUCACGAUCGCCGUCGCUGGCGAGGACCCCAUCCCCUCGGUGGCGACCUACACCCCUCCUCCUCCUCCUCCUCCUCCUCCACCAAAGAAGAAGCUCAUCUGCGGCUGCACCAUGGUCCGCGACGUGGCCAAGUUCCUCCGGGAGUGGGUGGUCUACCACGCGGCGGUGGGCGUCGACCGCUUCUACCUCUACGACAACGGGAGCGGGGAUGACCUGGAGGGCCAGGUGCACCAGCUCAGCGCGGAGGGCUUCCACGUAUCCACACACGCGUGGCCCUGGCCCAAGACGCAGGAGGCCGGGUUCUCCUACACAGCCGCGGUGCACCGAGAUUCGUGUGAGUGGAUGGCGUUCAUCGACGUCGAUGAGUUCAUCUUCUCCCCAGACUGGGCUGGGUCGAGCAAGCCGACCAAAUCCAUGCUCCGGUCCGUUGUCACCGCCGUCAAGCCUAACAUCGGGCAGGUCACGCUAGGGUGCAAAGAUUUCGGGCCCUCAGGGCGGACCAAGCACCCCAAGGAGGGAGUCACCCAAGGGUACACGUGCCGGAGGCGAGCCGAGGAGCGCCACAAGUCACUCGUUAGGCUCGACUCUGUGGCCCCAUCACUGAUGAACUCUGUCCACCAUUUCAAGCUUCGGCCCGAGUUCAAGUGGGAGCGAUCGAGGGCUGUGAGGGUGAACCACUACAAGUACCAGGCUUGGGAUGAGUUCAAGGUCAAGUUCCGCCGCCGUGUGUCCACCUAUGUGGCGGACUGGACCGACCGGGUCAACCAUGGGUCCAAGGACCGCACACCCGGCCUAGGGUUCGAGGCGGUUGAACCAGCCGGGUGGCCACACAAGUUCUGCGAGGUGGAGGACACCCUGCUCCGGGACGUGACACGGAGGUGGUUUGGUGUUGGAUUCACCAAUAAGCUUGCUCAUCACCGGCCGGUUGGAGGGACAACUCACAGCAGCUCAUAGUAUUAGUUUUGGUAUAUACUCUUUAUUAAUUGGACACGGAAACAUACAUGUAUAUUAUACAGAGUAGAUUAGGGAGAAUUCAUUUUGAUUCUUUCAACAGACAGGGUUUUGUUAAUCAUUUUUUAUGUGAUUUAACAAAGGUGUACAAAGACGGUUAGGAGGAGGUGUAACUUCCAUGUGAUUAUUUAUGCCUUUCUUGUUGCAGCGGAUUGGCACUGGCAAGAAAUGUGUACAAAAAGCUAACUGAUCAGUCGUUGCUUACCUUCAAUUCUUUGUUUGUAUUCUAUAUAAUAUAAUAUAUAAUCAUGCAUGCAUGAUACAGUAUGCUUCCAUGUGAUUGGCAGGUGGAAUAAGCAUCAUGUGAAUGUGAUGUUGGCAUCAGCAUAUAUGCUAACGUGUAUGCGAUGAUACCUGGCCUUGUUUAGUCCCAAAAAAUUUUGCAAAAUUUUUUCAGAUUUCCCGUCACAUCGAAUCUUUAGACGCAUGCAUGGAGUAUUAAAUAUAGACGAAAAUAAAAACUAAUUGCAUAGUUUGGUCGAAAUUGAAGAGACGAAUCUUUUGAGCCUAAUUAGUCCAUGAUUUGACAAUAUUUGUCAAAUACAAACGAAAGUGCUAUAGUGUCUGUUUUGCAAAAAUUUUUGGAACUAAACAAGGUUAUAUAAUAAGGAAAAAAACUAGAUAGUUGUAGUCAAGCAAAGUUACAUUCUCCAUGAAACAGAGACAAUGGCGCUACUGUAGCACUUUCAUUUGUUUAUGACAAAUAUUAUCUAAUCAUGGACUAACUAGGAUCAAAAGAUUCGUCUCGCAAUUUACAGCUAAACUGUGCAACUAGUUUUUGUUUUCGCCUAUAUUUAAUGUUUCAUACAUGUGUCGCAAGAUUCGAUGUGACAGGAAAUCUUGAAAACUUUUUGAUUUUUGGGGUGAACUAAACAAGGCCUAAACAAGGCCAAAGUUACAUUCUGCAACUCCAUGAGACAGAGACAUGGCGCCUCUCUUUCAGGAGAUGGUUGCACGAGGAACUUCAAAAUCUGCUCAGAAGACUUCAGGAUAUUAUUGUCCAUAGAUACAAUACUAACCUUGAAAAUGAUAAGGCAAGUUGGAACUGGGAGAAGUCUGGACGCUUGUCGUUGAGAUCUACGUAUAAACAUCUCUGUAGUAAAAAGUUUGGGGACAGCUUCAGGAAAUUUUGGAAAGCUAAAAUCCCUCUGAAAAUUAAGAUCUUUAUAUGGUUGCUAGAAGAAGCAAUUCUUACUAAAGAUAACCUUUGUAAACGUAAGUGGAAAGGCAACGAAUAUGUGCCUUCUGCACAGAUAAGGAAAGUGUGCGUCACAUUUUCUUUGAAUGUGCGACAGCCAAAUUUCAGCGAAGCAGUACUUUCUAAUGAAGGAACAGUAUUUUUCUUCCCACAACAUUUCAACAUCAGCGCAAAUCAAAUUUCAGCAAAACGAACGGGUUGACUGUAGACCAAGUAACUUGGACCAAUACUGGUUUUGUAUUAGUAAUAGUUUGCCCCAAGGUCAGCAGGUGUACGCUAUGGGGCUGGCAGCUAUAUGUUAGGCCAUUUGGAGAACUAGAAACUCUAUUUGUUUGAAACAAAUAGAACGGCAAACCUUUGUUUGUUUGGAACUCUAUUUGUCUCUUCAAGAAGACUGCGGCCUUGUUUAGUUCCCAAAAAUUUUGCAAAAUUUUUCAGAUUUUUUGUCACAUCGAAUCUUUAGACGUAUGCAUGGAGUAUUAAAUAUAAAUGAAAAUAAAAACUAAUUGCACAGUUUGGUCGGAAUUGUCGAGACGAAUCUUUUAAGCCUACUUAGUUCAUAAUUAGAUAAUACUUGCCAAAUACAAACGAAAGUGCUACUAUUUCUAUUUUGCAAAAAAUUUUGGAAGUAAACAAGGCCUGCACUGUGUUUUCACAAGAAGGAUGCCGAGAAGAUUGCUCAUGAAGAUAGCCAGUUGGCGCCUUUCGUUGUCUAGCUGUGAUCUUUUUAGCCAAAGUGGCUAUCUUCAUGAGUUUUCGCUGUGUUGAACACUCGGAGUCAGAUCCCUGUGUGAUCGGUUUUACUCUUUUCAAUCAGUAGUUUCGCGUUUAUCUUUCCGUUCACAAUGCAACUCUGUAAUUUCAGUAGAAUCGUAAUGAAUUUCGGCUUAGGCUAUUAUGGAAACAAAAAAACAUUCUGCAACUCCAAAGGCCGACAGAUGUAGAGUAUCUUUCUAUUCCAACUUCAACUACAGGGGAAAACACCUUCUUUAUCAAUACAAAGCUCUUGCCGGUAGCUUAAAAAAAAGGUGGGAGUGGGAACACACCUUCUUCAGUCAAAGGCUACUUAAGAUUUUUUUUUGAGGGGGUCAAAGGCUACUUAAGAAAGAGGCUGAUAGAGGAAUUCCUAGAUGAAAGCCUGACGGGCCAAACUUAAGAAGAAAGCCCAUGUAAACACGGCCUAUUGUCUUGCCAAAGUCUUGGGCCGAAUAGGAUUGUUGCAAAGAGGCCUAUUAUAGUAUACGCACGUGUAAAUAUAUACACUAUAAACAUACAUACAUUUAGAAUACAGAUAUGAUAAUGGUCUCAAAAUGGGAAAAAUAUUUAUUUAGCUGGCUUACCUCAAGGGAAGAAGAAAACUCUGGUACAUAUACAUAUGUGAGAGUAGUAUAUACUCCCUCUAUCCCAAAUUAAAUCAACUUCUAGACCCAAAUUAAAUCUAACUUUUAUAGUUAUUUUAAGUUUGACUAAAUUUAUAGGGAAAAAAGCACUAAUACAUAUUUUUAUAUUGUAUAUAUAUACUUGUUUUGGGACGAAACUCCAUGGUAACUUGGCAUAAUGCCAUGUACUAUCACAAUGCACUGUACUCUCCGAGAGACAAGCCAAAUGUCCCUUUCCAGAAGCCAUGAUUUCAAGUGCAUGGAUAACACCAUACUACUGUUGAGUGCUUCCGGAUGCAAGUCUCUCUCACCCACUUUUUUGUGGCUUUAAAUCAGAGGCAAAAUGCAGUAAUGAAUAGUCUGCUUCCAUGGAAUUGGUUUGCGGCACUGAAUUUCAUUCGUCGAAAUCCGCAGUAUCUUUUUUUUUUUUUAAGAUCCGGGAACGAAUUGUUCCGGCUUUUUUGAAAAAAAAAAAAAAUCUGCAGUAUACUGUACUAGUAGAAAUAAGAGACGCAUUCAUGCAUGCUAAGAGCAUUAUGGUAGCAGCAAUCACUCCAAGGUACAUGGCUGGUUGCCGCCGUUGGUUAUUGGCAAAGUGGUAGCGUGCAUCACUGGGCAUUCGGUGUAAUUGGGUGCCGACAUGGUAGGUUGUAGUGACCCCCAACCUAUGAGCACUUGUGUUAUUGUCCUUCUAAUUUUGCUGACCCACAAUAAAUGUUUAGCUACUUCCAUUUUUUUUUUACAAUGACAAGCUUCAUUCUCAAAACUACAAAACUUGUUUAGCUACUUCCAUCCUUAUUCUUUUUUUACAACGACAAGCUUCAUUCUCAAAACUACAAAACCACCAAACUAGGUUGCUGCUAGUUUCUGACACAUGUUUUUUUCCCAGAACAGUUAAUUGUACCAAGUAACUUAUUAGAAUUGUAACCAUUGAUGAAAAAUCUCUAGAAGAUGGUCCAGCUACUUCUUACAUACUGAAAAAGAAAAUUGAUGGACAACCACUGUAUGAGUGACACUAAUAUCUAACCACCAAGUGCCAGAUGACUAUUCUCCAUCUAAACCAAAUAAGUGAGAUGAGAGAUAAGUGAGAAGGAGUCAACAACUUACCCAAUACCAAUCCAGGACCAGUGCCCCCUCAAAAGGUCCAAAGAAACCAAACAACCUGACUUUCUGCAAAGUUUCACAUGAUAUCAAUAUACUCUGUUGUUGGCCAUCAAGUUUAUUUUUUGAUCAUAAUGGUAACAAAUAACCUUUAAGAGCUUUAGUUGGUAUAGCAUCUAAUCCAUGGAAACUCUAGGAGGAAGGAAUGCACUGUGACCGUUUUAAACAGUGUAUGACCUGAUACGUGUGUGUCAGUACCAUGACAGCACCAACGAGUUAUUUAAUUAUAUUUUCUAUAAACAGCGGCCGCGUCUAUAUAUUAUCAACAGAAAACCUUGCGGCUAAAAGAGAAGAAUCCUGCACACGACACUGAUAUUUUAUAAAUAGGUAGCACAUCCAUCACACGACAGGAUAAACAUGAGCGGAAAAUAACAAAUAUGUAUUGCAACAAGAAAGAACAUUGUACUUGGAAACAGAUAAAGUAGAUGACGAGUGCCUGAAAACCGCCGUGCAGGCCAGGGCAUGCUGCUCUUUGAGCUCAACACGUGUGAGUGUGAACCACCACAGCCAAGCGCCAACUACCCACAGGAAACAGAUUGGUGGAUUCAGUACUGGCCUUUUGAAUUCUGGUCAUACACAGAAACAGGGGUCAUAUAUUGCUUCGAAAGGUCAGGUCGUUGCUUACCGCUUUUGUUUUUCACAAUCCAGCACGCCUUGGUUUCGUUCAGAUAUGGCUGAGUUUCCCGGGGCCUGCAAAACCAGCACACUCCAGUCAUAACAGAGUAAAGAGCGCUGCCUCCUGUUUUCGGUUCUAGUAUAAGCCUGUUGCGUUCCUGAGCGAUAAGCACACUAAUCCAUACAACCAGUGUCAACAGUACGAGAGCCUGUUCCAAAUCUCACACAGAUCAUGGACCAAACUAAUUAAAAGCUAUCCUGAGAUGAUGUACUAAAUAUUUCGCCAAAUAUAGAGGACGUCGGGGGUGAGGAAGGGACCCUAGUCACAUGCAAAGUAAUAUAACCUUGUAACUAAACAUGAUGGAACUCUGGCAGAAGAAUGACAGACUGCAGAGCACCUGGUUGCAGCCAAUAAUGCAAAGACUCUGUGGGCUCCUUGUGCUUUUGCUCUCCUUCCAACCUUCUCCCUAUAAAUACAAAGGCGUGCGCAAGGCAGAACCAUCAGCUAAGAUAGUUGCAAACAAGCGAGUUACUUACAACCAACCAAAGGAGUAGAAACCACCUGAAGCCAUGUGCAUUGCUGCAUGGAUUUGGCAGGCUCACCCUGUGCACCAACUCCUCCUGCUUCUCAACAGAGAUGAGUUCCACAGCAGGUGCGUGAUCUUGCUUGGUUUUAUUGAUCUGUGUAGGACCCCAAUCUGCAAGUAAUAGUUCUGCCAUAUGAGGUACUAUUUGGAAAAUUGGGUACUUUUUUCCCUCCUAACUUAUACGUUCACUGACAGAAUUCCCAUGAACCACACUGACAUAUGUGAUGAUACUGUUCAUAUUGUGCAUGCUCCUAUCAUUCAUUCAGUUCUCAGAAACAAAAUGCUGCUAGAGAAACCUACAGGCUAUAGAAAGGUUACCCACUGCAAAACAACAAUGCUAGCUGUUCAGUGUUCAUCACUUUGUAUCUUUUUUCUUGAACUGAUGCAGGCCUACAAAAGCAGUAGGAUGGUGGGGAGAAGGCUCAAAGAAGAUUCUUGGUGGCAGGGAUGUGCUUGGUGGAGGAACAUGGAUGGGGUGCACCAAGGAUGGAAGGCUUGCCUUCCUGACCAAUGUGCUUGAACCAGAUGCCAUGCCCGGUGCACGGACUAGGGGAGAUCUGCCUCUCAGGUUCCUGCAGGUAUAUAGCAAAACAUAGCAACAGCUUAGCUGAUCUAGGUGAUACCGAGAAAGAUAGAUUCAUUUCUUGUACAACCCAAGUUCUUGUUUUCCAUCAUACUUCUGCUGUCCCCGUCAUUCCUUAGCAGCUGAUUUGGUCACUGUCUGACAAAACCUUUGUUUUGUCAGUGUCUCAGUGAUUGGUGUAGACACUAGACAGUGCACAUAGGAACAUAUAUUCACACCGCAUUCCCAUUAUAAACCAAAAAAAAAAAUCCAUUGAAAACACUUUAGUGGUUCAUAAUAUUACAACUGAUAACUCUAGCAUGUAUUGUAAGAACAUAUGAUUAAUCAACAUGAAAUUAUCUUCUAUGUAAAAUUGUUCCUGAAUAGCACACACAUAAUCAAGUCUGUGCGGUGCAGAGCAACAAGAGCCCACUCGAAGUUGCAACUGAAGUGGCAGAAGAAGCUCAUGAAUACAAUGGCUUCAACCUCAUACUAGCUGAUCUAACAACAAAUAUCAUGGUCUAUGUGUCAAACCGGCCUAAGGGGCAGCCUGCAACAAUUCAACUCGUCUCACCAGGACUCCAUGUGCUGUCCAAUGCAAGGCUAGAUAGCCCUUGGCAGAAGGUAAGCAGAGAACUUUCAUGUUCAACAAGAUUUGUAGAUAGCUAAAAAACUAAAAAUGCCUUGCAAAUAAAAAUGAACAGGAUGAUUUUAUUCGGUAUAGUGGGUAGCACAUAUUGGUAGGUACAAAACUAGAAAUGCUGAAUGCCUAUGAGGUGUCAUGUUAAUUAUUUUAUUUUUAGCUGCACUAAAAUGAUGGAUCACAGAGAAAACAUUGAGCUGGGAAAAGCGUGAGAAAGGUACAGGUGAACCAUCUAAAGUACUUCCCUAGUAAUAAGCAACAUUGCAUUUAACUCAAUUUAUAGCACAGCAUGUGCAAGAUGUAAGAUAAGAUGACAAUGCAUUAUUGCAACCUACUCUGUCUCUCAGGGACCAUUCAUCAUACCAAGACCAUUAUUCAUGAAGACAGUGUGAAGUACCUAAAGGGAUUUUUUUUUUCAUUGUUGUGUAUGCACUUGUAGGCAAUUCGCCUCGGUAAAAACUUCAGGGAGCUUCUUAGGGAGCAUGGUGGCGAUGAGAUUGAAGUGAAGGAUAUAGUUGAGAGGCUAAUGACUGACACCACAAAGGCUGACAAAGAUAGACUGCCAAAAACUGGUUGUGAUCCCAACUGGGAGCAUGGUCUGAGCUCCAUCUUCAUCGAGGUGCAAACUGACCAAGUGAGAAAAAUCUCUUGAUUCAGGGUUCAACUGGUUGAAAAAACUAUAUCAAUUGUCCACUUAUAAAUAUCUGUGUACAUAAAGAUAGGCUAAUACUUCAGAAAUGAACUUAUGAAUUCUAUUUUGGUGAAGGGUCUCUACACACACACACACACACACACACACACACACACACACAGAUAUAUAUAUAUAUAUAUAUAUAUAUAUAUAUAUAUAUAUAUAUAUAUAUAUAUAUAUAUAUAUAUAUAUGUGUGUGUGUGUGUGUGUGUGUGUGUGUGUGUGUGUGUGUGUACACAAAAUUAGGCUAAAUGGCUAAUACUUCAGAAAUGAACUUAUGAAUUCUGUUUUGGUGAAGGGCCUCUACGGGACACGGAGCACAGCUGUUUUAUCAGUGAACUAUGAUGGUGAAGCUAGCUUGUACGAGAAGUACCUUGAGAGUGGUAUAUGGAAGGAUCACACAGUGAAUUACCAGAUAGAGUAGUAGGCAAUGCACAGGAAAAGCUGGCAACCAAAAAUAAAUAGAGACACAAUUGUGAAUUUCAUUCUUUCCCUGAUCCUGAGUCACCUUUCAGAACUAUCUAAGAUCCCAUCAUGAUGCCAAUUACAUUAUUUACUGUAAGCAGAUUUGUCACUUGACAAUAAAAUGUCAAGCAGAAGUGUAAGUUUAAAUAUAUACACCAAAUAUAUAAAUUUACAGACUUUGUGUAAGAUCAGUUUUUCUUGCCUUCUUGGACAUGUUUACUCGAGAAAUCUUAGCAAGCUAUUGUAUGUUGAGUUCUGUUGUAUUAAAGGUUAAUUCACUAACAUAAAGUUACUGUAAGAUAUGAUACAUUUAAGCUACUGAAAUUAUAGAAUAUAUCAACAACAUAAAAAAACGAUGCACGUAUGCGUAAAGAAAUGCAUCUGGUGUACCUCAUUUGUUCAAUAUGCUCCAGACCUCCAGUGGUGUCGGUCAUGCAGCUCCAGAGCCUAAAAGGGAUUUUAAAGAAUAACUAUACAAAUGUUCUUGUGAAGUCUGCAGUCUAGUGAGUUCUGUGAUGAUGUUAUCCAAGAUAUGUAGAAACUGAGAAUCACAACAAAGUACCAUCAUAGAGUUGCAAUUGCAAUAUUCAUGUUCAUUAACAUGAGUAUACAGAAAUAUGAAGCUCUUCAGUCAAGAUUUCAGCUUGUAGACAAGCAAGCUACAAAGAAUUGUAAAGCUUAGCACUACACCCCAAUAGCUAAACACUACACCCCCACUUGCAUGCUCUUGUUCUUCGUUGCUUGUUACUUCUCUGCAAAAUUUUUGUCUUUGCCCAUCCCUGCUGGUUUCUUCUCUGCUUGGUUUGUCUUGUUGUUCACGGCACUGCUGUGGUAUCCAUCUCGUGAUCAUCCUCUCAUGAACAAUCAUCUGUUCCAAACAAUCCAAGGAUCCCAGCUCGGAGCUCUCGGUGCUGAUGGUCAGAACAAGUACCGUCUUGGCCACACUUCCAGAGGCCCGAAGCGCACAGAGUAGUUCAGACCAGACCUUCAUGCGGCUACACCUAGUGCCGAAUGCUUUCCCUUCUGGAACCACAGUCACCGCAAACUCCGAGUGCACAAGUGCAGGAUGAUGACGGUAAGCUACAAACUCCGCCCCGUACUGCAAUCCUGACUUUACAACCCAGUUCUUCAGCCUAAGGUGCUGAUACGCCUUGUAAAUCUCCGGGAAUCGCUCCGAGGCGGACGCCAAGAGAUCCCACAGCUCCGGCGCACCUAUCCGCGCCUUCUUCUCCGACUCAACCGUGACGCACUUGAGGGCAUGGCAAAGGAAGAACACCUCCUCAGGGCCCAGCUGGAACCAGUGCCUCUCCGCCGCGCCUGUGCCUGCACUAGACACGGCGCGGCCAAAGGAGGCGCAGUUCAGAAGCUUUGCUUGGCGUCGCCCGACCAUGAGAAUCGCGUCCCUGGUGUGCGCAGCUAGAGUCGCCACGGCUUCUGAGUCCCUCAGUGAAGCCUGGAGCUCGGCGACUAUGCUGGACAUGGGCUUUUCUGCUGCGAGUGCUGCGAAGUCCUUGCCGUCCUUGCCCUUCUUCCAUCGGGGACCUGGCAAAUCCAUGAGCUGAUGGCAGCACACGACAUGAGAUUUGAUGGAAAUCGGUAAUCCACAAAUCUAAGGGCAUGACAUCUACACCUUGUGCAGGAGCAAGAGGCCGGCCGUGUAGCUGCUUGCCGCAGGAGGAGCGGCGCCGUUGGGCGGGGUCGCAGGGCCCGCCGGUCUGGAGCGGGACAGGGCCGUGAGACGCGGCGUUGCCCUGGAGCCGGCGCGGUCUGAUGCAGCGGACGACCGCGGCGGCUAGGAGCAGGAGGGGCUGUCGGGUCGGGCAGUGGCGGCUCGCCGGCAUAUGGACGCUCCAACUCCAAGGUGCGGUGCGGUGCGCGCCGCCGCUCCAAGGUGAGCGAGGAAGUAGUCGGCACGGUGGAGGACGUGGGCUACUGGGCUGGGCCUCAGCUCUUUUAUCUUGAGUGGGCUCGUCUGGGCCACUGUGGUGUCGGAAUGGGCUUUGAUCUUCUGUUCCAAUCUGACAGUGGAAUUUGUUCCGGGUCGGCCCAAAAUCAAAAUGGAUGUUUUCCGGUUUAAGUGAAAAAUCUUGCGCCAAAUCAAUCCCUGCAAAUACUUCAUGAAAACGUGCCGUAAUGGGUUCCUGUUCUGCAAGGACUGCAUAGACCUGUGGGCACUUUUGUGUAGAGCAGUGUGAGAUUUCCUAAGACGUGGAUAAGUAAAAGAUUACAAUCCAACUAUGUGUUUAUUCGCUGUAAAGAAGAUGGUUUGCUGCUUCAUUAUGAUUGUACAGGCAAUUAUAUAUGCAUUCAUUGGUCUAUUAUUUGCUACUUGUACCAUUAUACAUGCCUUAGGGCUUUACUAAUCCGUUCCAGUUCCAGCACACUGACAAUAAUUGAGUUGACGCUCUUUGAAGUGAAGCAGUUGGCAGCCCUCCUUUGAGCAAUACAUAAAACCACUCUUGGCCUUGUGGGGCACAUUUAUCUUCCUGUUGCUCAAAUAAAAUAAAAUAAAACCACUAGCAGUACAACCACAAUGGAUACAAAUGUACACGAUUUAGUUUGUGCAGUAAGUUUUCUUUUGCAAAUAAAUGCGCAGUAAGGUCAUUGCAUAUUACUUCCUCCAUCCGAAAUUGUAAGUCAUUCCAAGAAUCUUGAAGAGUCAAACUUUUCUAAGUUUGACCAAAUUUAUAUGAUAAAAUAAUUAUUCUUAUGAUACUAACUAAGUACAUCCUUAAUUAUAUUUUCAUAGUAUAUUCACUUUAUGUUACAAAUCUUAGUAUUUUUCUCUAUAAUUUUGAUCAAACAUUAAAAUGCUUGGACUCUCCAAGAUUCUUGGAAUGACUUACAAUUUGGAAUGGAGGGAGUAGCUAUUUACAUGGACACGGCAUAACAUUUAGGUAUGUUUGGAACACAGGAAUUUGACCCUAAUCUACAUUCUCCCUUUAAAACUGAAUUAAUCCCGACCCUAUACAGUUUUUGUGUUCCAAAACAGCCCUUAGUUUUAAUGAGGAGGGUAGAGUCAGCAAUAACUUGAUUUUCCUUUGUAAAAAAAAAAAAAUCAACAGUAUCCAAACCUCAAGCACAUGUUGGUGAUCGUUCCUUUUUCACAAUGAUUGGACUAUCUUCUUUUUCUUUGGCAUGUCUUACAAAUGUUAUUGCCCCUUUUGCAUGUAAGGACGAUUGAGGUCACUAUACCAUGACCAUGGAAAAAUGGGACAUCUUCGACCCAUGGACCACUUUGGGUUCUUUGGACUUGGGUUGACUUUUGAAAGAUGCUAGUUUUCCUAAGAACACCACUCUUUAGCAAACCUUUUAUUCACACAAGAAAUGAGAGUACUAUCUUGUAUGCUAAAAACACUGCCCUUUCUGUACAUAAAGGACUAACAUGACCAUCGAAACAAAACUUUGUUCCAAAUUGGCCACUGCUCUUCUCACGCAAAACUAGAGUGGUUCUCUCUUCUUCUGCAAGUGGUUUAAAACAUCUUCGUAGGUAAAGAGCGAUCAAUAUCAUAGCACUCUCCAAUUAAGAUAAUCACACAAUGCAAUUGCCCACGCCUAUACAAUGCAAGUUGUUUGCCGUAUUGUGAGGACAGAUGAAGAAUACAUCUGGUCUAUAAGUUUUAAAACUCUGUAUUACAUACGCCGUCACCUGACCUCCUUUAGAAUGCAGGCCUCCCUGUUUCUUGCGUGUGUGUUUUUCUUCUGUGAAAAUCCAAAGGCACCCUGUGUUAAAACUAGUUGCUUUAAUCAGCGGUUGUAGAAUGCAGAUAUUAGGUUCAGCCAAUGCAACAGGCAAACACUCUUUGCUUGAUUUUUCAGUAUAGGUGUCCAUAUCCAUAAAUAAAUUAGAGGUAAAAGUUCAGACUCACAAUGUAAUAAGCAGGGAGGCUCCUUCCUUUCGUUCUGUUAGAGGACGAAGACAAUAACGAGUGGUGAAAUUACAAGGGUCGUAUCCAUCCAUGUACCAGAAUUAUACCCUACAACGAUGAUGUUAUCCUACAAGAUCAUCCGAAUGAACCUGGCAAGCGCAUAAAGCUGAUGAUCGCACAGCAGACCGUGGAGGUGGGGAAUGCAAUUCGCCGUAGCACAAAUAAAUAUAUCUCGCCGUGGAAACAAUCAGUCGAGCAGGAGUAAGAUGCCGACCGUGUAGUGUAGCUCCUCGCCGCACCUGCUGGCUGCGCGGCGGCGGACCGGCCAGAGCGACAAGCCGAUCGCCGUCUGCCGCGGUGGAGGCGCAGGCAGCAGCAGCAGCAGAGCAGUCCUGCAUCCACAGCCGCCGCCUAGCGGCUCACCGGGGACGCGCGCCACCCGCUCCCCUCCAGCGGACGGUCGCGAAACUGGAAAAUUUUGUUGCAACGGUCGGCUGCGGAAAACCAGGCGAUGGUGUGCGCUCACAGAAAGCACAGCGAAGAAGCACAAAACACGCCGUGGCCUGCCUGCCGCCUGCCCCUGCACACCAGCCAACCAGGCGCGCUCUCGCGGAUCGGUGACGUGGCGAGGUGGACCCCCGAGCCGGCAAAAUAUCUGCCGCCGUGCCACUGCCGCGCGGGGCCCGCACGUCAGCCAUGUGAUCCGCGCGGCCACAUGCCCACCCUCCUCCUGCUGCUGCGGUUCUGCCAGCCCAAAUUUUCCAAAAUCCCGCCCAAGCCCCUGCCGCCGCAGCUUUUGCGCGGAGCACCCUGACGUCUGCUGGAACCGCGAGCACGCCCCUCCGCCACUCGUACGCGGGCGGCCGCAGCCCUAGCCGUCGUAUAGGAAUCCCGGAUGACAACCGGGACCCGCGCCUUUAUGGACCUACAGGUCAGUGGGGGCCGCGGCUGUUGUCGCGGUGAGGAAAGGUCCCGGCGGGUACGGGAAUUCAAAUUGGGAGGCGGAUGCGGGCCCUCGCUGCGCGGGCGGAAUCGCAGAUAUGCCCUUGGGCCACGCCUUCCUUCUUAUCCCCUGCGCCUGCCCUCCCCCCUCUUCCUGCAGCGUCCGUCGCCCCCUUUCCCCUCCCCAUCCCCGCGGGCCGCCAGAGGCAAAUUCGACCUCGAUUCGUCCCCGCUUCGCCCGGCCGCCAGCGGGAUUCCCUCCGCCCCGCGCGGAUCUGACCGCUGCGCUCCGUCACCACGCCGCUCCAAUCCGCCAUGAAGGGGGCCAAAUCCAAGGGCGCCGCCAAGGCCGAUGCCAAGUAAGAAUAACGAAUCUCGCCGUUUCCUUCUUCCUUCCUUGUUCGUCGCCUAGAUCUGUUCCGUGGUGUCCCAACCAUUCGAUUUAUGUUGUUGUUGUUGUUGUUGUUGUUGUUGUUGUUGUUGUUGUUGUUGUUGUUGUUAUAUAUAUGCGACGCCGUGACAUGCGUUUGACUUUUUUUUUUUUCGUUGCCCUGUCUCUGUCGCCGUUGGCGAUUGGUUUCUGCAGGCUGGCGGUGAAGAGCAAGGGUGCGGAGAAGCCCGCCAAGGGCAGGAAGGGGAAGGCCGGCAAGGACCCCAACAAGCCCAAGAGGGCUCCCAGCGCUUUCUUCGUCUUCAUGUGAGAUGCGACUUUUUUUUUAUUCCCCCAGUUUUUCAUUGCUGUUUCUGGAACUGCGGUUCGAUCUGUUUUUGGAUGGAUGUGUAUGCAGGGAGGAAUUCCGCAAGGAGUUCAAGGAGAAGAACCCUAAGAACAAGUCUGUCGCUGCGGUAAGUUCCCCCAACGAAUCAAAUCACCCACUACUACUUUAUGACCGACCGAUAGUACUAUCUAACUUUGACUUUGUGAUUAACCACUUUAUUUAAUUUAUUUACUCGCCUCGAUUCGUAGUUUACUUAACCUUUUUUACCCCCUCUUUCCUGUUGGAACUUUUCAGGUGGGAAAAGCUGCCGGUGACAGGUGGAAAUCCCUCAGCGAAUCGGUAAGCAAAGCUUGCUCCACACAUUACACCUAAAUAAUAAUAGUAGUAGUAGUAGUAGUAGUAGUAGUAGUAGUAGUAGUAGUAGUAGUAGUAGUGGUUAGAUUCGACUAAAAGCUUGUGCUGUUUGGUUAACGUACGUGUGUUUGUGGAUUGUAGGACAAGGCUCCCUAUGUAGCCAAGGCUAAUAAGCUCAAGCUAGAGUAUAACAAGGCCAUUGCUGCCUACAACAAGGGCGAGGUAGGAAAACUUGCAUACUUCAAUUGCUUUGUUACUUAUGUAUAUACUGUUCUAGCUGGUUAUUUAUUCGAAUAAGUAAUGGGCAUACUCAAUGAAUCAUGUGUUGGCUUGUUCAGAGCACCGCUGCUGCUAAGAAGGCUCCUGCCAAGGAGGAGGAGGAGGAAGACGAAGAGGAGUCUGACAAGUCCAAGUCGGAGGUCAAUGAUGAGGAUGACGACGAGGGUAGCGAUGAGGUAUACAAAUUUCUUUCAUGAUGACUCAAAAGCUUCUUAUACGUUUGCAUGAGGCUCACCUGUUAGAUGCAUAGCGUGCUCAUGUGUUAAGCAGGUUACUACAUUAGCUGCUCUAGAAUGUAGGUAGUAUUUGAUUGGAAUCAACCAAUAGAUAGGUAGGUACAUAUUUGUAGAUUGCAUUACGAGUCUAGAAUGUAAGGCUUUGUUGGAACCAGAUUCAUUGUGCUUUGGAGUUAGCAAGUCUUAAGAUCUGUCUUCCCCCUUUGUUUGCAGGACGAAGACGAUGACGAGUGAUGGAGCUUGCUCUGAGACGAUGGACCAUGCUUUGUCCAACAAUGGAGCUGCGACAGAAAGGCCCUGUGGCGAAAAACUAUAAGGAGCCUAUAUCCAUGUACUAGAAUUAUUCAGUUUCACUUCACAUCGUGAUGUUUUUACUUUUGUCGUGCUAUAACGGAUAGCGCUCCUUGUUGGCGCCACCGGCGGGUGGUUUUGCUUCUGGUCUGGUGUGUGGCCACACUGGACCAGCAGAGACGCCCGCUUGUACCUAGAUUACUGUUUCCAUUGUCGUCAUCGGCUAACAUUGUGAUAAUAUCAGUUUGGGUAAUGUUAGAUUAAGUAAUCAUUGUGUUCGAUAUCCUUUUUGUGUUAUAUAUUGUUGCUCUGUGCUUGGUACUGGGAGUUGUGCUGUUGCUUUGCAUCGCGGGCAACUGUCGUGUAACUGCAGAUUUGCCGUUUGGGUGAUACAUGUGCUCCAGUAUUUGGGAGGCACACGGGCACAGUUUAGUUUGAAUAUGUUUGUGAAGGAAUGGAAUGGAAUGGAAUGGGGCUGGGUAAAAU
RNAcentral lists this long non-coding RNA (54289 nucleotides) under Sorghum bicolor (sorghum). Its description in RNAcentral is "long non-coding RNA (SBIC_LNC018420)". The record is from RNAcentral. Lineage: Eukaryota; Viridiplantae; Streptophyta; Magnoliopsida; Poales; Poaceae.